ACCCAUUUGAAAGGUGACAAUAUGACAUCUUAUUGUUCAAAUUACUUGUCAUAAUUCAAAAAUCCUAACAUGACACUUUUGUAAAUGUAGGUUCAUGGGAUAUGCUAAACGUUCGGUUAAGAAUAAAGCUAGGGUUGAAGGAUCUAUUUGUGCAUCAUACUUGCAUAGAGAGACAACUCAUUUUUGUUCCCAUUAUUUCAAAAACUUCAUGUUAACACCACAAAGCAAUAGAAAUGAAGUAAACAUUGAAACAUAAAGCCUUCUGACAACAUUAUCAGUGUUUGACCAACCUGGUCGUCAUUCUGGGAGGGAAUCAACUCAUUGGUUAAGUGAUAAAGAAUUGAGAUCAGCUCAUGUUCAUGCUUUGAUCAAUUGCGAUGAUGUUCAACCUUACCUUGAGUAAGCCUCCAAAAUCCUAUAUAUUUCCCAAAUAUUUCAUUUGAUAUAUUUCAUUAUCUUUGAUCCAAUCUCGUCAUACAUGUCGACAGCUCGUUCUUACAUACCUAUCAACUAUCUGAGUCAAACAGUUCGGCAUACAUACAUGCUAAUUUCCCAUUGUGGUUUAGGCAAAAGGUACGACUUCGAAUCAUUGGACUCUCAUUCAUUUCUUCCUUAAUUAUUCAAUCAUUACAUUAUUCAAUAGUUUAAUAUACUUUAUGGUUGUAGGUUCAUGACGAGCCUUUAAGUGUGAGGAACCAACAUCUUAGAGAUUUAUCACUUGCUCCUUUAAGGUAUGUAAAGGAAUAACACACCUUCUUUGCUAAUGGAUACAAAUUUCAUAACCAUGCAUGGAGCCAGGACAAGAGGACAAUAAAUAGUGGGAUUCAUGUUAAAGGACUAAUAGAAGGAGGUCAAGAUGAUUUCUAUGGUGUGAUUAAACACAUCUAUGAGUUGGAAUACAAUUCAGCAACCACUGAAAAGAAAAUUGUAUUAUUUUAUUGCGAUUGGUUUGAUCCAUCGAGAGUAGGUACAAGGGUGGAUUCAAAGUAUGGCAUUGUGGAUAUUCGAAUGGAUAAAAGAUAUGUGUUGUUUGAUCAUUUUAUAAUUGCACAUAAUGUACAACAAGUUUAUUAUGUACCAUAUCCUAAAUCACGCACGGACAAACGAGGUUGCUGUGUUGCGAUAAAGACGAAACCUAGAGGACGCAUUCAUUCUAAUUAUGUAGAAACGGAUGUCCCAUACCAAGUGGAGGAAAUGUCACAUGUUAAUGAUGUCAUUGAAGUUGAAGAAGUUGUCCGAUUACAAGAUGUAGAAGCUAGUCUUGAACAAGUGGACCCCAACAAUAUUAAUUUUUCAUCAUUUCAAGGUCAUGAAGAUACAAUUGAAUCAGAAGAAUCCAAUGAAGAGGGAGAAGGUGAAGAUGAUAACGAAGAUGAAUUUCAAAGUUCUGGCACUGAAUAGAGUUAGGGUUUGUUUUUCAUUUAUUUUUGCUACAUUUAUAAUGUUGUCCAGUUUAGAAAUGUAGUAUUCCAAUAUAGUAGGCUUUUUAGGCUUAUAUUUUGUCAAUUCUUAUCAAAUCCCAAUAGCUUGCAUGACCCUGAUGUAUCUGUGCUUGUUAUUGCUAAGAAACAGAAAACACAUUUUAUUGUUAAUGCUUUCUGGCCAAUCUUCUUUAUGAGAAACUGUUGCGAAUUUUAAUUUUCCAAUGUUACUUAAUGUUUUUAAGGUUUAGAGUUAAAUAUAUUAGUAUUCUUUGGUGGCUUAUAAUAAAGACAAAACAAUUUAAAAAAUUUAGAAGAAUCAACCAUUGUCUUCUGUGACUUCUAAAAGAUUCAAUAAAUAUAUGAAUAAGAACAUGGUAAAAAAGCCUUACUAUCAUGACGCCCAUAAUUCUGUCGCACAAGAGUAUCUCCUCCACUGAUAUCAAUAAGAACAAAAAUUUCCUUUAUACAUCCAUAUGCUUUCAAGAAUUGGUCAUCCUACUCCUUACCUCUAUACCUUUCAACGUUUUCCCUCUUCUAGAAAGUGUAUCAGGCAUAACUAUAACAUCUUUUCUAUACAAACUUAGUGCAGAGGAAUUUUCAUCAACUGUUUCUAUAAAUUGUUGCUUUCCUCAACGCAAUUUUUCAACAAUUACAGCAGCUUCUGCAUCUUCAUCCUCAAAUUCUGUUUUGGUUUCUUCCCAAUAAUCCUCCUCCACUGGUUCCAUCAUUUUGUUUCUAUCAAGGCAUCGAUACCUUUGUUGUCAUCUCCACUCUUUUAUUUCCUCUUAACAUUUAUGAUACAUGUUCUUAUUCAUAGAAACAUAAUUUAAGUGGAGGUUGAAUUUGUCUUUGCUUUAAUCUGUUUGAUGAAAUUGAAAUACUGUGCUUAUGAACUUGCACUUAUUUAUUGACUGGAAAUAAGUUAGACAAUCCGUUAGAGAUUUAUGACCUAACUGACCUUUUUUUUUUUGUAUGAUAUAAUUAAACAGAACUAGUCUUUUAAUUUAAUAACAUUGAUUGUUUUUUAAAAAGAGUGUUAUCAUACAUUUCCUCUGUUUCAUUUUCAUUUUGUGUCACUGUAUAAGAAUUUGCACAAUUAGUCAUAUAGAACCAUAGUGUAACUGGAUCUUGGAAAUGUAUUUAAUGCCAUUGAUUGGCAAGUUUACCAUAAUUUUUUUUUUAUUAUUAUGAGACAAUGAAUCUUGUAGGGCAAAUGUGUUCGUUAUGUAAAUAGUGAUAGGAGUAUAUACAAAUAAUUACUAUUCAUGAUUACAAAUAUCCUAAUUCCUGAAUUAGUAUCCUCUUUUAAUAGAACAAAUUAAUAUAAUUAAGGAGAUAAAAGAUUUCUUGAUUAACAUCCCUUUAAUUAAGGUGAUUGGUUAAUAAAAGAAAAUUAAUAUAAUUAAAAUAACCGCGUCAUCAGCUAGACACUACUCUGAGACAUCAAAGGCUGCUUGUUUUGUCAAUGGCGUGGAAAACCCAUAUAAGUGAAUCUCAUGUAGGACCAACAAGGAGGGUGUAGGAGAUGACAUAUUUUCUGAAUCUCAUGUAGGACCAACAAAGGAGUGUGUAGAAUAAAAUCAACAGUCCCUUGGUAGAGUGAUAGCUGACCAUAAUAUUCAAGACUAUUAUUCUUGGAAGGAAAAGCUUGCAAACAAGGCACCUUUUGAAGCUUCAUCAACAAGAAAUUCUUCCCCUUUUGCUUAUUCAGGUAUUUGUAUGAUAAAAUUAAAUAGAAAUGNUGAUAAUGUUAUUAACUUGACAAGAUUGUAUUAUACAAAUUUCAUGCAUUUAGUUAGAUUUAAUUUCAAAGGAAAAUUUACCAAAUCACCAUUUAUUNGAAAUGGAGAAAGAACCUUUAAAUUAUUGGUGUACUCCUUCACAGUGAUGUCUGUGGACUCAUGAGAUUUCAAGCUAAAAGAGAAUUAUUUUAUUUUAUCACCUUCACUGGUUAUGUUUCGUGAUAUGGAUUUCUGUAUCCAAAUUUUCUUUGCCAUUUUCCUACCCAUCUGAACCUCUAGAACCUCAGAUACACCCUUCAAAGGAUAUGAUUUCAACCAAACUCAAAUGUGUCUUGAGAAGGAAAAAAUGCUUGUUGUUGUUAAACUUGAACACAAAGUAGUCAUUGAUUCUAAAGGCAUCUGAUAGGAGUUUAGUAGUGUUGUCCAUAGUUGAAAUCAUUAUUGCCAAUUAUUGAAUCAUGUUUUUUACCAUGUAAUUUAUAUUAUUACCAUUGCAACAUAUUUUUCUCUUGUUGAUUGAAUCAUGUUUACACUGUUAUAUAAUUCCAUCAUUGCACCUUCAGGAAUAUGGCAUCAGGUGGUUCUGGCCCUCCUCUUCCACCUUCAGGAAAAUUUGAUAAGGAGAAGGGGAAGAAAUCUUAUGUAAUCAAGUUCCUUCCNCAUUNCGAUAAUGAAAUUGGUUCAAGUGGUCAGGCAACUACCCCUUCCUCUACCUCCACUGGUAGAUAUAUUCCAUCUCCAUUACAAGUUCCUGGCUUGACUCCCACUCCACANACAUCUACACCUACCUCUCUUCCAUCUCCAUUACAAGUUCCUCCCACUCCACAUACAUCUACACCUACCUCUCUUCCAUCUCCAUUACAAGUUCCUGGCUUGAUACCCACUCCAUACCAAUUACAUACUAAUCAAAUGUCAUCACUCUCUCCCAAUGUUGGUUCUAACCCAUCAACUCCCACAGAUAAUGCAGGAUCACCUGGUACAGUGGAUGCAGAUCCACAUUCCAGUUCAGCCGUCAAUGAUGUCGAAGAAGGUUCCAACAAUCAUCCAAUGAUUAGACCCGUUGGAGGAGGGUAACAAAAAAAUUGAACUCAAUUAAUAUAUAUAUAUAUAUAUAUAUAUAUAUAUAUAUNNNNNNNNNNNNNNNNNNNNNNNNNNNNNNNNNNNNNNNNNNNNNNNNNNNNNNNNNNNNNNNNNNNNNNNNNNNNNNNNNNNNNNNNNNNNNNNNNNNNNNNNNNNNNNNNNNNNNNNNNNNNNNNNNNNNNNNNNNNNNNNNNNNNNNNNNNNNNNNNNNNNNNNNNNNNNNNAUAUAUAUAUAUAUAUAUAUAUAUAUAUAUAUAUAUAUAUAUAUAUCAUUGUUGUAUUAUUAUAAUGUUUGAGUUUAAUUUUGGUUUAGGUUUUAUCCUACAAGAAUUGCAUCGAAGGCAAUCACAGCUACCAUCAAGCAACAAUUUGAUGAGCCAUGGCUAACAUGGGGAGAAAUCCCUAAGACAACUAGAGAUCUUUUCUUCGACCGUUUUAAGGUACACAGUUUUAUAAAUUAAGAUGUCAUUUAGUAGACAAAAUGCCAUCACCCAACUUCCAAAUCAUUUAUAGAAUGCAGGUUGAUAAGGAUUAAUCCUCAUUUGCAUUAAUAUGUCAUAUUGCUCUAUCUAUGAUACAUUGUUGAUUGAUUUGAUAUGUUAUUGAUUGAAUGGUUGAAUGUUCUGAUAUAAACGCUAAUAGGAUAUUAGAAUCAGGGGGAGAAGAAAAAUAUGUUAUUGCAUUUAUGGUGAUUGUUAUGUUAUCUGCAAUGAAAAUAGUCAUGUGAAAUAUGUAGAAAUUAGUACAUGAAUAUAAUAAAAUUAGAAUACAGUUUAUCUUUAUUGAAGUUUGGUUAGGUGUGGUGGAAAAAUAAGAUGAUGAAGAAGAACAUAAGGAANCUUUAUUGAAGUUUGGUUAGGUGUGGUGGAAAAAUAAGAUGAUGAAGAAGAACAUAAGGAAAAAUAAGAAUAUGGUUUAUCUUUAUAAAUACUAAUUUUAAGAUUAGCUCAGAUAAAAAAAACCAAAGGUUCGUUAGUCUGAGCAAGCUGUUAGGAAGAACCAUAAGGAAGACACUACAGUAGUGCGAAUAAUGAACCUCUGGAGGUUGCUUAUCAAAUUUUGAAUUCAUCUAAAUUACCACUAGUCCAAAGAAGCGUUGUUUGUUUUUAUUUAUCACCAAAAGUUAUAUUCAUUCCUGUGUAAAAUCUGACAUGAAGAAAAUGAAAAAGGUGUUAGGAAUAAUGUUUAAGAACUCAACCAACGGAAACAAAAUUCAAAAGAUGAGAACUAAGAUAUCAAAGUUUAUGAGAGGCCAAAAUCUAACCUAUGUUGUCAUGCAAACAAGCAAUGGGAGGAGGAGAACCAAAUCCCAUGAGGCUUAAAAAAUAAAGGACAUAAAAAGCUUUGGAUCAUAACUUAGUAUAAACGCCAGCAUUCCACGUCUAAGAUUUCGAAUGAUGAGAUCUAUACACAACUAGUUCCUGUAGAGAAAAGCUAAAUGUGAGUUUUCUUUCUUUUGGUAACUCAACCAUUGUUUAAGGCCUAGAGGGAUUAAAGAGUUUACCUUAGAAUAGCUUACUUGAUCAUGAUUCACUUUCGAAGAUUUCACUAUUGUUUCCCACUUAAUAUAGCUUGAUGCUCUACUAAAACCCUGUCUUUUAGACUUGGAUUAUGUACCUUGAUUUUUAUGAGGGAAUGAAUUCUUAGAAGAAACUAGAGGCAGGGCACGACAAAGCCAGGACUCAGAAGGUGAUUAUAUAAGGUAUUUUACCUUAUAUCUGAUAUAUUAUUGAUUAGCUUUCUUUUUUUACUAUACAUUUAGUCUUGAUCUAAAUAAUUAAUGCAAAAUUUAAUUUCUUGCAAAAAAUUCUUCCAUGUUGUGAGAUGUUUCCAUGCUCUCUGAUAUCCUGCUUUGACACAUAUAUGGUUUACAUCACUGAGUUAUGACUUAUGGAAGUCUUAUAUCAAUCAUGAUUGGUCUUGGAUAUAAUAACAUGCUUUCAUACUGAAUGACUUAUGUUAUAAAGAUUUUCAUCUUCAAUUCUAAUUAUUCAAGCCUAUUCUUUGUAAUAUAACAGAGAAAGGUUUCAUGGAAUGUUGAAGAUGAGCAAAAAGUACAAAAAAAAUUUCACACCAAGGCAUCUCAUAGACUCUCAGAGAUGUAUAAAAAAGCUAAAAGAGUAGAACAAAGACCUAAUUGGCUGGGGAUGAUACUUGGAAUGCUCUACUGGAAAAGUGGAACAUGCCACUUUAUAAAAAAAAGUGUGAAAUAGCUAAGAAGAAUCGGACAUCUGAAAAAGGUGGCUGUUUGCACACUAGAGGAUCUAUUAGCGUGCAUGAGCAUGCUAUUCGUUCGGUAUGUAACUUGUACAUUUUAUCUCUUAAAUUUGUAAUCAUUACCUUUAUAAGUAUUUAUUAACAACUCAUUUUGUUUGCAGUCACACGAGCUUGGUCGAUCUGUGCAUGUUGAUGAAAUAUUUCAACAAACACAUAUUCGUCAAUCUACAGGGGACUUUGUGGAUGAAAGGUCUAGGCGAACCCAUGUAAGUUUCUCUACUAACUCUAUCACAUUAUACAUUGUCGGUUUUCAAACCUUACGUGUACUGAUAAUAUUUAUUCCUUUAAUAGGAAAAAUUUCAAGCAAAAUUUUCUCAAAUCAGAUCUCAGACUGCAUCUGUUGGUGCCUCAGCAUGUAGUCCCCUAGACCCUGCGGAGGAGGAGAGAUUGAGAAACCAAUGUUGGUUAGAUGCUGCUGGUGGAAGAUACAAGGGACGUGUAUAUGGCAUUGGAAAUGUCAGUUCCCAAGAUGACUGUGUCGAUAGUUACAUCCGACAGACUCAGGCAUCUUCUUCCACUCAACAACCAAAUUCAGAAGAAAUUGAUAAUCUUAAAUCGCAGUUACAAAAAUAUGGCCAACAACUUCAAAUGGUUCAAGGCUUUAUUGGUGUCCUCCUCCCGUUCCUUCCACCUUCAACAGCCACAACUGCACAACAAUUUUUAAACUUUCAAAAUUCUCAAGGUCAAAAUGAAGCACCCAAUGACCAGCAAGCUCCAUAUCAGCAAGCUCCAGAUCAGCAAGCUCCAAACCAACAAACUACAAACCAGCAACCACCACCAGAAGAUGGAAAUGAUCAUAUGCAUUAGAUAUUUUAGUCCAGUGACCAUUGGCUUGCAAGAGUAAGCCUAGUGAGAAUUAAUUCAACUUGGAAUUCUAUUUUAGAUGGAUUCUACAAUUUAUGUCACUGUUAAAUACCAGUUCUGCAACUGAGUUCAUUACAACACUUAAUUUCAAAUCUGUUUUUACGUUCAACAGUACAUGUUAAUCACUAGAAAUUUGUUUCCAGCAUUUGAUUCCAUUUAUCGUUCAGAUUUGUAGCUUUGAUUUGAAUGUUGACUAGUGAUUUCUGCUUUUAAAUUCUAGUUCCAAUUACUAUUUUGCUACUGUUUCUGUAUUAUAUUCAUGCUUAUGGAUAAGAAUCCUAUUGUUGUUGCCCGAUAGUUAACAAUUCAAUUUGAGAAGCAAUAACAAUAGAGAGGCAUGCAUAAGGUUGAUGUGAAUGCUAUGAAUGGAGCAAACUUGUUUACUGAAAAUAUAAUUUGAUGAUUGGGAAUAAAAUUCUAUAUUAGAUAUGAUAAUGAAUGUCCAUGUCUCCUUAUUAUGCAUUGUGUUUAUGAAUUCUGGUUAUAAAUUGUGCUUAUAAAUUAUAAUGUUCAACAACUCAUUAAAUUUGUUUAUGAAUUGUGAUUCUGAAUUAUAAUGUUCAACAGGUGGAAUGAAAUGGGAAUGUUUAAUCUGGUGUAAACAUCUAAAAUCUUAUAUACGGAAGUAUCUGUAUAUAGGAAAUAUACGUAUACAGGUUAUAUACAGAAGUAUCCGUGUAUAAAUUAUAUACGGAAAUAUCCGUAGAUAAGUUAUAUAUGGAAUUAUCCAUAUAUAAGUUAUAUACGGAUAUUUCCGUAUAUAACUUAUUUACGGAUAUUUCCGUAUAUAACUUAUCUACGGAUAUUUCCGUAUAUAACUUAUAUACGGAUAAUUCCGUAUAUAAAUUUAGCUACGAGGGUAUUAUAUACGGAUUUUUGUCCGUAUAUAAUCCGUAUAUAACCAAAUUUUAUAUACAGAUUUUUCGGCUUAUAUACGGAUUUCGGCUGUAGAUAAUUGCAAUUUUUCUUGUAGUGAGAGGAGUAGAUAAGAGAGAGAGAAUUAGAUGAAAUUGUAAACCCCCAACAACUCCAUUCAUCUAUUGUUUUCUUUUUUCAAUUGAAUCAAUCUAUUUUGCAUGUUAAUAUUUUUGUUCACAAAUCAAUUUAUUAAUUUUUAUUUUCAAGUCUUAUUAUUUUAGUUCACGUGAACGAGAAAGCCAUUCGAGUCUCUUGGGAAGAACGAUAUUGGGUUUUACCAAUUAUAUUACUUGAAUGAUUUGGUACGCUUGCCAAUCCGUCAACAAGUUUUUGGCGCCGUUGCCAGGGACUCGAGGUUUAUUUUUCUAAUAGUGUGAACUAAUUGAAUUUGACUUGGUUGUAAUUAUUUUUGUUUUAUUUUUAUUUAAUUGCGUUUUAUUUUAUUUUUCUAUAAAAGUGCUUUUAGGGUGUGUUUCUUGUGUAUGCAGUAAACGAUACAUACUAGAAGCAGGAAAAACCAACAACCUCUGUUACAAGGUCUAGCAUACGAGAGGAGAAAGAGACGUUCUUCAUGUGAGAGAUCUCCUUAUACAGAAGUUAUUUUGUAGACUUCGCGUGAGACUUUUGCACCAUAUCUUGAGGAGAUGGCCAACCAACCUCCUCCUAGACGUACUUUGGGGGACGCAGCAAAUGCAGUAGGCCCCUAAAAUUUCAACAGCAUAGCGGUUCCAAGUGACAACGCAACCAGCAUGGUGAUGAGUCCGGCGCUCAUCCAGUUAGUCGAGAACAACCAAUUCCAUGGACUGUCAAAUGAAAAUCCUUACAAGCAUUUGACUAUUUUUUGUAGUGUCAAUACUCCAAAAUCACCAGGUGUAUAAGAUGUGAAGAACUCCUUCCUGGAUGUAACAUGCAGUGUAGCACCACUAUCAAUUAUCCACAUGCUCUCAUCAGAUACAAGAUUAAAAGUGUCAUAAUCACGAAGACAAACAAGGUCACCACAUGUAGUAGUAGUAACACGAUCACCAUCAUCAUUAUCUUUUUCUCUUUGCUUACCCUUUUUGUCUUUGUUCUCUUUCUUCCCCAAAAAACAGUUCUUCUUUAUAUGCCCUGUUUUUUGACAAUAGUGACACUCCACAUUCUUGUACCGAGAGUUGGACUUGCUCGUGCUUUUAUCUCUACCACUGCUUUGUUCUUUCUUCUGGCUUCUCCCCCUGUUCUCUGUAAUAAAAACUUCUGAAUGAGAUGAAGUACCAUGUGUCUUCCUUCUCAUCUCCUCAUUAAGAGCACCACUCUUUGCCAUUUUCAAAGAAAUAUCACCAUUAGGGGUAGCACUUAUCAUGGAAACCCAAAAUAUCUCCCACGAAUCUGGUAAAGAGUUUAAUAGGAAUAAUCCCAAUAGAUCAUCAUCAAAUUUUAUACCCAAUCCAGCUAAUUGAUCAUAGCGUUCUUGAAAUUCACUCAAGUGAUUUGAAAUAGGAGUUCCUUCCUUGUACUUCAACUCCACAAAAUUUUUCAGCAAGUACAAUUUAUUAGUCCCUAACUUAGAGGCAUACAAGGACUCAAACUAAUCCCAUAAGCUUCUCGCAUGUGUCUCAUUAGCAAUAAAAUUAUAAACAUUGUCAUCAACAAACUGUCUGAUAAAUCCACAUAUCUGUUGAUGUUCAAAAUCUCAUUCUUCAUCUGACUUGGAUUUCGGCUUAUAGGAAGCAAAAACAGGAGGAUGCAAAUUUUUCACAAACAUCAAAUCCUUCAUCUUGCCUUUUGCAUAAGUAAUAAUUUUCUCCAUUCAAAGGAAUCAAUUUUGUAUGUGCCUCCAUCAUUCACGCAAAUUAAACAACCCCUUAACCUAAGAGCUCUAAUACCACUCUGAUGAGGGAAAGGGCCAAAACAAAUAUAACAACUUGGCAAAGAGUAAUAAUGCAGCGGAAAUUCAAUCCCCCUUCUUGCGAGAAUCUGCGAGGAGCACCAAACAAAUAAAACAAAAAUAGAAUCUAAAGCACAAAGAGACACCAUCAAUUUUUAAUGUGAAAAACCCCUCAAUGUAAGGGUAAAAACCACGAGUCGUCCAGACCAAAGAAAAAUCCACUAUGAUCAAUAAUAGGGUACAAAAGAGUCUCCCAUAAUAAUACCAAAAGGUAUUUUCAAUAAGCCAAAUUAACUAAGCACAAAUGCUUACAAAUGAGAACAAAGAAGAUGAAAAUUCUCCAAAAUAGGGUUGCUGUUGCAGGAUCGAUUUCUCCCAAAACUAGACCUCCGAUUGAAGAUCCGAACGGUCAAAUUGAAGAACGAUAUGUCUGGAACCUACUGUCUAAAAAUCAGCUCGAUCCAACGGUUAACAACUUCACAGCGUCAAAAACACCAGUGCAGGUUUAGGUUUAUGCGGGAAUGACUUUUGCCUCUCUUCAAAUGACUCACUUGUGCUCUAGUAAUCUGACCCAUCUCAUUUUGACCUAAUAAGAUAUAAUGGACCAUAAUAUUUAGACCUAUUCUCCACAUAAGAAGGCAGCCCAAUAACCCAACAUUUAGUUUUUUACACUAUUUUAUUAUUUCAUGUUUGGUAAUAACAUUUGUUUCAAUUAUUCGUUUUUAGAUUUUCAUUUUUGUAAGGCGGUGUUGUGUUGGUGGAGCAUUUCGCUCGCGAUGGACAAGUUUAACGCGCGUUGCCAUUAAAGCUAUGUUCCGGGAGUUCUCGAAGCUGUGAUGUUUCUACAGAAAGGUGAAAAUACACUAAAAUUUCCGUAUUGAGUGAACAUAACAUAUUCUUGUGUGUUUUUGUUAUUCUUGAUUCUUGUUUGUUUUGUUAUUCUCGUAUUAUCCACGUGAACUGAUUUUUUUUUCUCUACAAUGUAUUAUAGUCAUAUAAGGUGUCCAGAACUAAGGAUCUGAAAAUUAUGACUUGCAUUAAUAUCUUUUCAGGUUGUGGAAAAUGAAAUUUUAUACACAAUUUCACUUAAGGGCCAGAAGACAGGAUUUUAUGCAGAUCAGCGUGAGAAUCGACAGUUUAUAUCAACAAUUUCAGAUGGUUUAAAGGUUCUUGAUCUUUGCUGCUAUAGUGGUGGUUUUGCUCUAAAUGUCGUGCGUGGAGGUGCUUAAAUGUCACUGGUAGGUUAUAUAUUUUUAGUUCUCAUUUUUUUUUCUAAUAAUUAUCACUUCUUACAAUUGACAUCAUAAUACUGUUGGAUUUGGUUUUAUGAAAAUUCUCUUCCAAAUUAGAGUUAAAUUUUACAAAAGUUUUUUUUUUCAAUCUUUUUAAAGAGCUUUUAUUUGCUUUUCUCUUCCAAAUGUGUAACUCUUGCUCCUGCUACUUCAUCCUUUAUAAUUAAUGUGAUAUGUUGGAGCAAGUGAAGUUUGCUAAAAGAUAGGACUUAUGGUGCCUGCUGAAAGUGAUGCAGAAAUGUUGGAGUCGAAAUAUAAUUCUGUCAAGCAAUAUCUUGUUAAGAGGGACUCUCAUAUUUGCACUGCAUAUGAUAAAUUCAAUGAUUAUUUUGUUAUUUCAUAACUUUAUAUUCCUUUCUUUGAAUCUUGCAGUUUUGUUCUUUGUUAUUGUAUCAGUGCAAUUUUUAUUUUGAAUACAUGUUCAUUAAUUUUUAUUUCAAAACUGUAUGUUCAUUUUUUAUUUGAUUUUAAUUUAUUUACUUAUUGAUUUAUUAGUUGUUUAUUAGUUACAACUUUUCUCUCUUUAGGGUUCCAGAGGAAGAGUUUGAAGGCUUUCAAGACUCAUAAUUUAUUGACUAUUAGUAAGUAUAUGACAAUAGAUUCCAUUGACUUGUAAGUAUAAAUAUGAUUAACUUAUUCUCAUUAGAACAUGUUGAAUUAGUUAUAUAAUCAUGUACAUUAGCAUUGUAAAAGAAUAGAUAAAAAUGAUAAUAUAUAUUUAUAAAUAUUUUUAAAAANUUUCAGUCCUUACACAAUGAGUAAGCAUACCUUAAUAAACCUCUGCACUCAACGUCCUAAAAAUGCACUAAAGCUUUCCACACCAACCAAAUCACACCCCCAUUUUGUGCCGACAAUAACAAACAAGAAAAGGGUUUAGGAUUUUGACAUUUUACAAAUUAAAUUAUUUAGGAAAAUAACNAAAUUUACUUACCAGAACAAUCACUCAGGAAAUCUACAACAACGAACACUAAAAGAUGGCACCACAACCGAACUUCUUCUUUGUGGAUCAACGCAACAUUAAACCACUAAACACCGAAUGAAUAAACAUAUAUAUUAAAGGAACAACAUUCUUGACUCACCACAAACUCACCGAGAUUGAACGACGCUGGAAUUUACCUCGGAGUGCGAGAACUGGAGCCCUAGGGUUCGAGUGUGAGAACAGUCCAGAUUGAACGACGCUGACCGAGAUUGUUUGGCCUUGGCGACGAUAAGGAAAAACCCUCGAACAGGGUUCGAUAGAACUGCGGCUUUGACAGAACCCAAGCCUCGCGACUGACAGCUCCAAAGAAGAGAGGUUGGAGAACAAAGGUGAGUGAAGGUAUGAUAGUGUUUGAUGAAGGGCUCGAGAAAGACAGAACAAAGCUUCAAGGGAAGGGUUCCAGAGACAUGGGCCUGAGAGAAGAAGCUUCGAGGGUUAGACAGGCUCGAGAGAAGAUAGUUCAAGGGUUCGAGACAAAGAGGGGAAAAGGCAGAUCCAGCAUCCAAUAAUUCAGAAAAUUAUUUUUUUAAAAAAAAAAAUUUCACAUCCGUAUAUAAUGUCCGCAGUUAACUACUUCGUUGUAACUGCAUACGGAUAAUAAACUUUAUAUACGGAUAACUCCUUGGGUAAUUUUCCCGCCACCACGCACCAACAUUAUAUACGGAAUUUAUAUACGGACAAAUUUCGUAUAUAAAUAUCCGUAUAUAAAUCCGUAUAUAACACCUUCUCUUUAGUCCGUACAUAAAUUCCGUAUAUAAUUCCUGCUUUAUAUACGGAUUUAAAUCCGUAUAUAAUAUUCCGUAUGUAAUUUCAUUAUUUCUUGUAGUGUAUAAUGAUAAGAAAAUUGUAUUUAUAAAUUUUUCAUUUGUAAAUGUACAAGUUUAACUCGGCCCAAUGUUAUUUAUAUAUCUAAAAGUAAUUAUGUUAUCAUUUUUCUCAAAUAUUAAAAAAUAAUGUUGUUAUUUAAUAUAUAUAUAUAUAUAUAUAUAUAUAUAUAUAUAUAUAUAUAUAUAUAUAUAUAUAUAUAUCAAUUACUAUUUAAUAAAAUAUCAACAUUACUGUUAAUAUAUUUGUAGUCUAAAAGUCUAUAAAUAUGAUGACAUGUCUUCUAGUUAUAGUCAAGCAUCUAUAAUAAAGUCGAAGUCAUCUAUGAGAUGGUUUAAACUUUAUUUUUUGGAUCGUCUUUAAAGUCAUCAUGGAACAUAAAUUAGAGUAGUAUAUGUUUUUUUAGGUCAUGUAUUUUGGUCAAAAAGUGUAGGUUUCUUUAGGCCAUGUAUUUCAGCCAAGUAGAUAGGUUUAUUUAUGGCUUGUAUUAAAGCUUAAUUAGUAUAGGAUUUUUCCUUAAGCUAGAUAUCUAAAUCAUAUGGAAAGUAUGUGUCAUGUGUCAUGCUUCCAAUGGAGAGAAUUUAGCUUUAGUAGUGGCCACAUGACACUCUAGGAAUGGAGAGGAUUUUACUUUAUGAGUGGUCACAUGUCCUUCCCUCAUUGGAGAGGAUUUAUGGACACUUGUCCACUCCUUAGAAGGUCUCAUUUUUUGCCAAUGAGUGCAAAGGUGGGAGAUCAUGCUUUUAGGGUUUUUAGAAAACAUCAUUGCCUAUAUAUAGAGGUGUCUCCUCUCUUGUAAUCAUAUUUGAUGUUGAGUAAUGUUAUGCUACCCAUUUUUUGCCAUACUACUCCAUAAAUCAAGACUGGACCAACCUAUGAGGCGCCUCUAGUCACCUUCGUCUUAGAGUUGUCCUAACCUCUCCAUGAGCAUCACUAAACAAUACCUCUUUCACCAUAAACAUCACAACUGUGAGUUUAACUCCCUUGUCCAUCAAAGCUUCUGUGCCCAUCAUCCAUUCACCCACUUCAAUGGCUUUCCUUCAAGUUUUGGCCUAACCUAGCCAAGGAGGUUGCUAUCAUUUGGUAUCAAGAGCUUGGUUCUUCAAGAGCUAAGUACUUUGGUCCUUAUCUAUUCUUUAUUGUUUCGUGUUGUUGAUGUUAUUUCCUUACUUGUCUUGUAUUUUUCCAUUUAUCACUUGUUCUAGCAGUAAACUGUUAAGAUUUUGAAAGUUAAACUGCAUCUAGCUUAGAGGUCCAAAAAAUACGUAUUAAUAGUCAAAUUAAAGCUCAUUGAGUCUAGUUUCCAACACAUAAAAAUCAUUUCAUUUGGAGUUCUAUGAAGAAAGUUAUUAGUAAAACACUCAGCAAAGGUCAGAGCUACCAGAAUGUUAUCAUCAGCAUUUUUCAGGUUCUGCUUUGGUAGUUUUGGCUAAUGUUUUGUACCUUCUAAAUGCUCCUAAAUGUUUUGGGAUAUCAUGUUCUUAGUUUUUAUAGAGUCUUUAUUCAUCUUUUGAUUUGGUCAUUUUUAUUUCAAAUCCAUUCAUGUUGUCUAGAGUCAUGUGUAGUCAUUUUGAUGUCUUUACUUCCUAGUUGAACUUUGAAAAAUUACAAAAAAAAAAAAAAACUUUCUAUGUAGUGUUUUCCAAAAUUGUUUUAUGUGUGUGCCUUUGACUAUUUUUAUGUUACACAUUUGAAUUCAUACCUAUUGCUAGACCAUCAACAAGUUCCUAAAGUUAGGUUUCCUAUAUGUCACUUUUUAGUUUCAUUUUGAUUGUAAUAGGAUUUUUACCAUAUGGUAUAUUGUGAAUCUUUGAACUUUUCUCAAUUUAUCAUUAAACCAUCUUUCAUAAUUCAAACUUAACUUUUGAAAAAAUUUCAACUUCUUUAUCACCUCGCAUUAUUUUUAACUCUUCAAAUUUUUCAAAAUCAAACUUUGAGUUGAUGUUACCUUCUAAGAUACAAUUAACUCAAAGUAUACACAAACAAUUUUGUGGAGUAGACCUUCAAAGUUUUCAAGUAAAUUCUUUUGAAAUUAACAUAAGGUCUUCUUCAAAUCUUUCAUCUAGAUACAUAUUGUUUGUGGCACAUAACAUUAUUGGAUUUGUGUUUGAUGACACUUGCAUAUGGAUCUUUGAUCCUGGUGGAAAGUUACAUAAAUAAACCAAUAAAAAGAAAAGGGUUUUUGUCAUAAAAGAACAUGAAGAUUUCAGGACAAAUCGUUUUCAGAAUGAAGGGUAUGAUGACAUAUCGCUAGUACAAAAAUCGCGUACAACGUCGGAGAUUUUGGAUUUUUAAUGGCGAAUUCGCGAACGACGUCAUAUCAGGAGACGUUAAAUUGACGUCGAAUUUUAAAAAAUUUGAUGUUAAAUUAACGUCAAAUUUCGUCAAUAUACGACGUUAAUUUAACGUCGAAUUUUGUCAAUAUACGAUGUUAAUCAAUUUUGUUUUAAUUAAUUGUGAUCCUUUUUUAUAAUUUUACGAGACCUGAAAAAUAGAAAAAUAACAAAUUUCAGUGUUUUGUAUUUUAUAAAGCAUGAACUAUGAAAUAUCAACAACAAAUAACAAUAACCAACAACAAACAAGUUCAACCAAACAACAACAACAAACAAGUUCAACCAAACAACAACAAACAAGUUCAACAAAAAAACAACAAACAAGUUUAACAAAUAAGUUCUUCAAAACGAAAAUGAAAACUAACCUUCAAAAGGUGGGUUCAUCGGAAUAAAGUGUCAUCACCAGUGAGAGAGAAAGCAUAACACGCCUAUGAAGGACAAGAGCACGAAAAUAAUCAGUCAAAACAAAGGAAAAUCAUACAUAAAGUAGUUAAUUAACAUGCAUUUUUGUCAAAUGAAAGAAAGAUUACCUGUGAUGGUCAUCAAACUUCGUUCGAGAAAAGUUUGAGAAGAGAAGAGGGUCUCGCGCGCUAAGUUAAAGUGAAUAAGUUUUCAAUCUCCCGCCCAAAUUUUUAUUGAAUUCACUAACCUUUUAACGUCUAACACUGGGGCAUUCAACGUUUUAUAUCAUUUUACGUCGAAUUAUAAUUAUAAACGAUGUUUAAUAAUUGCAUUUAUUUAAAAAAAUGUCACCGAUCAUUUUUAAAGUUGGCUAUUCAGUGAUUGAACGUUGAACGCGUGACAUUAUAUGCUGAUUUUGCACUAAUGUAUCCCUAAACAUUGAAUCUUGUGUUUGAAUGGAGAAGAGUCUUUGAAACACAUACAUCUAACACAAGACAAAUAAAAGCUUUAAAGAUGCUCCUACUCUCCAAGACCUUGAUCAUUCAUUUGAUUUAAGAUGUAUCAUUCUUCAUUUACUCACUAUCAUAACACUUGUUAUAACUUGUGCUAUAAGAUGGGUAUUUGACCCAACGGAAAAGAGACAUGAUGACUCCAAAGAAGAUGAGGAAGUUUGUCUUAGACCCAAGUUGAAGAUUUGAGGCAAAUCAUUUUCAAGAGCGGGGAGAUGAUAGCAUACCCUCUACCCAUGGUUAAGCAUCUAGAAGAAGAGUUUAAGUCAUCCAUGAAGAUAGUUUAAACUCUACAUUUUGGACCGCCUUUAGAGCCAUCAUGAAGCAUAGCUUGGAGUAGUAUAAGUUUCUUUAGGCCAUGUAUUUUGGCCAAGUAGUGUAGGUUUCUUUAGGCCAUGUAUUUCGGCCAAGUAGGUUGGUUUGUUUAAGGCUUUUAUUAAAGCCUAAUUAUUAUAAGGUUUUCCGUUAAGCUAGAUAUCUAAACCAUAUGGAAAGUAUGUGUCAUGUGUCAUGCUUCCAAUAAAGAGGAUUUAGCUUUAGUAGUGGCUACAUGACACUCUAGGAAUGAAGAGGAUUUUUCUUUAUGAGUGUUCACAUGUCCUCCUCUCAUUGGAGAGGAUUUAUGGACACUUGCCCACUCCUUAGAAGGCCUCAUUUUUAGCCAAUGAGUGCAAAGGUGGGAGACCAUGCUUUUAGAGUUUUUAGGAGACACCAUUGCCUAUAUAUAGAGGUGUCUCCUCUCUUGUAAUCAUCUUUGAUGUAGAGUAAUGUUAUGUUGCCCAUUGUUGGACAUAUUGCUUAUCUUAGAUCAAGACUAGAGCAACUCAUGAGGCCCCUCUAGUCACAUUCCUCUUAGAGUUGGUAUAACCUCUCUUAGAGUCUUCAAACAUCACACCACCAUCAGUUAACCACCAUAUGGUCGUGAGCUUCUAGUCUCACAAACACCACAGCUUUUGCAUUUCUAGCCCUUUAUCCUUAAUGAUCCACCAUAUUUUCGCAUCAUAUAUUUUUAAGGAACUAUCUCCAUGACAUUCUUUUAGCUUUGAUCCAACCUAACCAAAGAAGAUAUUAUCAAAAUAUCUACAUGUGAAGUAGACAAAAUAUUCGUCUAUCAUACUCAACUCUCUCAUCUUAUAUUAUUUAGAUUUUAAACUCUUAAUAAGUUGACUGUCAAAUAAUUGUUUCUAUUUAUUUUUGGAGCACAAUAGUUUUCUUACUUCUCUAUGUCUCAUAUUCCAAAUUUGAUAAAAGUAGUAUUAUUUAAUAACUACUAUUUUAUUAAGUCUUAGUUCAAGGGAUAACAAAGUCAACCACAGAAGGUGAUUAAAAUUUUAUAAUAUAGUAUUUAUAGAUUUGUUCAUGUUUAAAAUAAAUUAAAACUUUUAUAAACAAAAGUUAUAAAAUCACGAGACUUAAAUAAUUAAAAUAAGUCAAGUAUUUUGCCUAGUGAAAUUUCCUUGAGCAAAAAAUAUAAUUAAGUUUUCUGCAAUAUGAUUUUUAUUGAAAAAUUAUUCUAUUGAGCGUAAUUUCACGGGGUCUUCAUUGUUGAAUUUCCUAAACAAUAAAUCCCAUUGUGUAUUUUAUAGCAUAAUCAUCAACCCUGCUGUGACAUUUCGAUGAGUAAAAAAUUAUUACACUCAAUGGAUUAUUGAAAAAUAAUAGCAUCUAACACAUCUUAUUUAACCUACCUAUCACAUUGUCUUCAAACUAAUAACAUUUUUAUAUAACAAACUCAACACCAAUAUUUUUUAUGAUAAAUUCAUAUUUAAAUCUAACUUUUUUUUAUGAUAAAUUCAUAUUUAAAUUUAACUAAGACAUUUGAUUUUAUUGAAAUGUUAAAAGUUUACGGCAAGUAAUAAGAUUGAUAGUUCAAAUGUUUUUAUGAUAAGAGAACUAUUUUAUAAAUAUAAAUAAUUGUUAAGUAUUUAUUAAAUAAAACUAUUUACAUUUAUAAGAUUGAUAUAGAUAAUAAACUUAUGUUAUUAUUGAAAAAUAAUUACUUUACAUAUAUAAUAACAUACUAGUUAAUUUAUAAUAAAAUGAUCUUUAAGAUUAGUUAUGAUAAUUUAAUAUUGUCUUGAUAAAUAAAAGUUUAGUAUCUCUUAUAAUAAAAGACUUAACAAAUCUUAUUGGAUGAUAUUUAUUUAAUCAAGUAAAGAAUUAGAAUGAUUGAAAUCCUUUUGAUUAUCUUACAUACCGAUCCAUUCUUUUAUUUGAAGAUGAGCAGCUAAUUAUUCAAUAUUCAUAUAAUCUUUAUUAUGUUUUAGAAAAUUUUUAACAUCUUUCCAAUUUAAUGGUAGUUUGUCAAUUAUAGAAGAAACAAUUAAUGUCUCAUCCAUUACAAUAUUAUGUUGCUUGAAACUUCUUAUUUUUUUGGAUUUCAUGAAAUUGUUUCAUUAUUGGUCUAACAUCAAUCAUUUUGUAAUUAUUAAAAUUACUAACCAAGAAUUUCUUGCUUGAUGCAUCUUCAGAAAUGUAUUUGCUUUCAAGUUGAUCCCAAAGUUCUUUUGCAGAAUCCACAUAUUGAUAUAUGUCAAAUAAAGGAUCAGAUAUACCGUUCAAAAUGUGACCACGACAGACAUAAUCAUCAUUCUCCCAUUUGUUCCUUUUUCGUGGUUCCCUCAAUGUCUCGGUUUCGCUUUCUUUGGGUUAUUAGACUUGAUAUAAUCUUCUAGCCUUGAACGCUCAUUUUCCUAAAAGCACUAUUUCGUUCCUUAUAAGAGUGAAAGGGAUCACGAAAUCUACUUUUGAGAUACAAAGAAGAAAUACAACGAUAAUACUCACUCUUUGUGAUAAUACUCACUCUUAGUGUUAAUGUCAAACAAGAAUAAAAUUAUCACGAAUUGAUUUGUGUGUUAAGUGAAUGACAAAAUAUAAAAAAAAAAAAAAAAAAGUCUCACAUUUCAAUAGAGAUUCCUUUAUAUAAAUGUUGAUUGGAUAUAUUUCAAAUCCAAAAUAUCAUAUUCUAAUUAGUUAUGUUUUUUGAUUCUAACUUUUAAUGAAUGAUUAUUACUUUUCAUAAAUAAUAAUUUUAACUCUUCAUUAAUGAAUCUGAAAAUAUAAUUUGUAGACCUAAUUAGAUUUUAUAUAGGCCACAGGACAACAAGCCUUUUUGGCCCAUUUUAAAAGAAUAAUUUUAAAUUCAAAAGUUAAACAGAAUAUACAUGUAUGAUAUCUUUAGGACAAAUUAAUGAAAUUAAUUUUAGUUUGAGAGAUAGUAAUUAUAUAUAUAUAUAUAUAUAUAUAUAUAUAUAUAUAUAAUAAUCUUAUUUUAAAUUUUUAAAAUUAUCCUUUUGAAUAGGAGUUCGACCUAUCACCUAGCAACUGAGUCAAUCCAAUUCCAUCAGUGUUAUCAAGCUGAUAUAAUUGUGUUCAAUGUCACAAUUGUUCAACUUUGGUCCAAACUAUUUUAUAAGAUAUUUCAAGUUGGUCCAACAUACCAAUACCUUAAGAUUUUAAUAAAGUUCUUUUAUAUUUUCUAAUACAUAAAUUUGUUAAAAAAAUGUAGAUGAUUCAUAUCAGCAAGUUGGUAAUGUAUUGUUAGUAUCCUGUGUCUAAGGUGGUAUUUUUAACUAUAUUAAUCUUUUUAGGUUAAAUAAAUUUUUUUAUCGAUUUUUUUAAUUUCAUUUAAUUAUUUUUUAAUAUUAUUGAUAUAGUUUUUUUCAUCAAUAUUAUUGAAAUAAAUAUCUAUUUUAUUAUUUUAAUAUGUCUGUGAUGUUGUCAUUAUGGGUCCGCACCUGUCGAGAAAAGAACAACUGCAAUUAAUAAGAUUGCACUCACUAUCCUCUUGGUGAUAAGGUGUGUGCGUGUCAGUGUGCCACUCUUGUGUGUCUGAUCAUUUAACUCUUUUUCAAGCGUGUCACGUGCUUAUUUUACUCCAUGUGAUGUAAUAAGGUUAGUCACGUGAUACUUCCAUCAGGCCCAUCAUGUACCCCUCUCCAUGUGAUCCAACAACUCCAAGUUCACCCUUGAAUAAGGUGCCUGUCCCCAAAGCAAAUAAUUUUAAACCCUAAAAAUAACUAGCCAAAAACUUAUCACUAGCAGUAAUACCUAACAUAGUAAAAUGUUAUAAUUAAUAUUAAAGUGACUGCAUCGUAAUGACAACCUAAAUAUUUAAGUAUGCAAUGUAUGUAGUAAAAGAUCCCUCGGCUAAUUACACUUUUUCUUAUUAAAUUAUUUAACAAGAUUACACGAUAUCGUUUAUUAGGUAUUGAGUAUCGAUAGUUUUAGAUGUUCUAUAAGAAUAGAUCACUUAGCUGGACACUCAAUUAUGAGUAUUAGGUACUAUGUUUCAUUUCUACAUCAUGAAGGCUUAAAUUUAUUUUUUAUAAUAACGUUGUUCAUUUAAGUCAAUGAUACCGAAUAUGGGUAUUGUAAUAUAGAUGGCUCAAAUCGAUCGGGGUCACGAAGAGGAAGAUCGGGAAUGAGUUAAUGCCGAUAGGGAGAAAUACGCUCAUAGAGGAUAGCUGGUGACCUAUGUAAAGACUACAAGAAAAAGGUCAGAAGAGUUUGGUAGAUCGGGAGAUAGGCCAAGAAGAUCGGGGUGAGGAUUAUACCGAAGAAGUAGCGAUANCAACUUUGAAUAAAUUAGUAUUUAUAAAAUCUAUUUGCUUAAAAAAGUGAUUUAUAAAAGCUUCCUAGCUAUACGUGAAAGAUCACAUAUAGCAUACCAUAACAUAUAUUAUUAUAUAAUGAUUAAACGUAUNUUCUCAUCUAGGAUUGUAUCUCAACAAAGAUUAGUAUUUACAAAAUCUUUCAUUGGCAUAUAUUAUAGCAUAGAAGUUCAUAUCAUGAUUCUGAUUAACUCAUCUUUUCUAUGGAUAGUUCUUGUUGGGCAUAUAGUGGUUGUAAACCUUCUAUAUGAUCUAAUGAUAUUGUUUUUUUCUUACUAUUGUUUUACNUUUUAUUAUCUUUCUAUGUUAACAAUUUUAAUUUCAUGGAUUAUACAUUAUGGUGUAAGUUUGUCCAUUGCAUCAAUUAUUUCCUAAUUUAUCAUGGUUUUUGUAGUAGUGUGUUUAUAUAAGUUUCCUGUGUCUGCUUAUCUCUCUAUUUAUGUCUACAAUAGGCUAUGAUAAGUUCUCCUAUAGGAGGAUAAUUUUUGACAGAAUGCUUGACGAGAAGCUUGGAAGCCAAAGAUAUCACAGUGAGUGACGAAAACGAGCUAUUUUAAUCUUUUUUAUGAUCAUCUCAAAUAAAGUAGCUAUAUUAUAUUUACAUUUUGUUUAGCCAACACCUCAAUAUUCAUUCAAGAAAAAGGAAAUAAGUCCUGGGAAUCUUCAGGUAUUUUUAAUUCUUUUUCCCUUGAGUUUUGAAGUUUACAAUGUCGGGGGUGUUAACCUUGAGGUGUUGUAUUCCUUUUUCAUNUUUUCAAGCCUUAUGCCCACUCUUGAUCUAGAACUUUAUCUACCAAUUAAUUAUUCAAGUUUGAUAAGAAUGACAGUCUUGGUUGUAUUUUUCUUUCUUGCGAAUUCAUAUCUUUAUGACUUUGUGUUUUUUUCUGAUUCAUAAAUAUUAGACCUUGAUUUUCCACAUACAACAGAAGGCUACAAACUCUAUUGCCAGGUAUGUAUUCCGCCCAUAUUUUCUUUUCAUGUCUUUAUCUCCAUUCCUCGCUGAUUCAUUGUGAUAAAGGGUUAUUAUCGAAGACAUCAAGGAAUGUGUUUNCCGAACACCAGAUUCUCCAUAUGAUCGUUUGUAUCCUAAUUGUAGUUUCACAUAAUGUUUUGACUUUUUGAGCCUUCUUGGUCUAGUUGUAUUCAUGGAAGCACAUGCACAUGCAUAUCAUGAGUACAUAAUGAAGCACAUGCGCACCAUUAUUUGUACAAACAUUACUGAUUCAUGGAAUAAGGUAUUAAAAAACUAACUAAAUACUUAUCAAGUUGUUCAAUACAAAAUUGUUGUGUAAAUCUUUAAUGAUUCAUCUCCAAUAGAAGCUCCAAAGACAUUAGAACUAAGUGGGCUUCUUUUAUUUUAAGUGUUAGUAAAUUGUAGAAACUUGAAUACAAUGUAGUGUAGGUUAAUGUUAUAUUUGGAUUUAAUAUAUGGUUUGAUGUAUAAAUUAUAUAUGUAUUAAAUAUUAUUAGACAAUUUAAUGUUUGAAAUGAAUUUCAUUAUGUUAGUUUUGAAUAUGUUCAUUUCAUGUUAUAUUGAUUAUAAAUUGAUUGAUGAGAUGAUAAUACAUGAAAUUAUUUGUAAAUUGAUUGGAUAUGUCAAAUGUAAUGAAUUUUUUUUUUACAAAACAAAUUUUUAUGAUAGGUGAACAAUGUAUGUAAUAAAAGCUUAUUUAUGAAAAGUAUAUAUUAUGAUAGGUGAACAAUUACUUAUCAUAAUAUAUUCGCCAAGGAUGUCAUUUUGAUGUGAAUGGCCACUCCAUUUGGGUUCCUGUGAAAGUAUCCUCCAGGUACAUACAACACCCUCUCAAUAUCCUAAUAAUCUGAAAACUCCCCUAUGUUCAGCGCAUACUGGCACUGCACACCAGCCCACUCAGUGCCCCAGAAGUUGUUAAUAGUCCUAGGGUCAUAUCUGAUAAUCUCCCUUCGCACAUAACUAGUGUACCUCUCCAUCUGCACUCCUCUGGAUAAGGCAUUAGUGUAAAACUCCUUCACAACCUCAAUAUUAGCUAGCACAGGAUAUGUAGCCAGCUUCUCCCAGUUCCUGUUUCCAAGCUCCGCUCGAAACUGAGGAGCCAGGUCUAGAAUCCAAAUGGUCGUCCUCUCCAUCAGUAAUCUCCUUUCUUGCACAAUCAGGAAAUGCUCCUCAUGUUUCCUAGAGAGGAACCUGUAAGAAUAAAAUCUUCGUGGCCUCUCCGACUCUUUUCUCUUGUUUCCCAUAGUCUUCACUCUCCUUAAAGAUGAUGUCAUUCCUACAUCAAAUACAAUUCAAAAGAAAAAGGAAAUUCACCAUUAAGGGUUAGAAAACCAUCAAACAUACACCAAUAAAACAUUGUCCAGUGCUCAGGGCAAAACAAGACCCCUCAACGCCACCCGCAUCACAAAACAAUGCCAAAAACAAAAUCUGCUGCCCACUGCUCAGCGGUGGCGUCGGGAUUUUUUCAAAACCUAGCCUAACCCACUCUAAUCUCCACUCAAUCACAAAUAACUCAGUUCCAGACAAAAAUCAUGCAAUUUAAUUGGUGCAAAAUAUUUCUAUUUCAUCAAAUCAUGCAUCAAAAUCAAAAGCCCUAAUCUACACAAGUUCUUCACCAAUAUUUAAUUCUAGAAACCCUAAGAAUGAAAUUGCUUGACUUACUUAAAUGGAGAUACUCUAGAUGCUUGUAAAUAUUUCGUGAAUGAUGAUGGAUGCUUCUUCAAUGCGAUGCUCUCACCAAAAACCCCAAACUUUGUCAAUGGAAUGGGUGAAAAGUGAAGAACUAUGAGAUUAUGGUGAGUGGAUGAUGAGAAAAGUGAAGGAAAACCUUUAUAAUGCUCUUGAAAGUAAAAGCAAAGUGCUAGGCUCUGUAGAGAAUGCUUGGGUAAACCCUAGGGAGGUUUUAAAAGUGUACAAAUGGGCCUCCAACGCUGAGCUUUUAAAAAGCCCAUGUUGCAGUCUGCAACGCCACCGCUGAGCGAUCAAAUGAGCGCUCAGCGGUGGGCGUUAAAAAUUUCUCCCCCCAUUUUGGCUUGCCAUCACGUUUUAGAACCUAUAAAACUUGAUUUCAACUUUCAAUUUUCAAUUUAAUGCACUUCCCCUCUCUUAUGCAAGACUUAAACCCUAUAAUGCAACUAAAAGAGAGUUAAAAAUAAGAAAAUAAUCAACUGGGUUGCCUCUUAGGUAGUGCUUGUUUAACGUCACGAGCCUGACCCAACCUUUUCUAGCACUCAUCAGUAAGUGCUUCCCAACACCCCUCAGUAGGUGUACUUACCUAUAUCCUUCAAUAAAUACAUAAUUACUUGGCAUCCCUCAGUAGAUGCUACCCAAGAAUUGCUCAAAAAUCCAAAAAUUACAUGUCCAAAUAAUAAAAUAAUGAAAAUAAUGUUUUACAACAACUGGGAUAUCUCCCAAUAAACUCAUGUCUUCUCGCCUACGUUGGUGUCUUCAUCCCACCAACUAAUCAGCUGCCUCCUAUCCACCUCCUUGACUAUUCUGGAGUAUGGUCUUUCAAUCUCCACUACUCCUUUCUCUUUAAGCUCUUUCACUAACCAUUCUUUCUCCUUGUAUUUUGAUAACAGUUGAAAAACUGUUAUUUUCAUACUUAAUUUUGAUAUUAAACCACACCUUUUAUGGCUUAGAAUUAGCUUGAAAUCAUGCAUUUUUAUCAAGUUAGAGAAUAAGAGAGUUAAAGUUGGUUUUCUUUGUUUUAUGCUUGGUUUCCCUUGAUUUUUGUAGGUUUUUGGAAUGAAUUGAAAGAAAGGUUGAAGAUCAAAUGGUUGCAGUGUAGAAAAGUCAACCAGAAUGCAGAAAAGUCAACCAGUCAACCAAAAAGGUCAACAAAUCAACCAGAAAAGUCAACCAGUCAACCAGAAAAGUUGAUCAGUCAACCAGAAAAGUUGACCAAACCGUUAAGCGACAGUUUUUGGCGCUUAGCGGUCAGUUUUUGGCACUGAGCGGCAGUUUUGGGCGCUGAGCGGUCCUUCGAUUAGAGGGAAACCGCUGAGCGAUUUACUUAGGUGCCUGAGUGGUUAUCUGUUGUUAUUUGGCUAGAUUCUAUUAUCUUUUUGGCCUAUAUAUAGCCCCACUGCAAAUCAAAACUCAUUCUUUUGGCAGAGAGAAACAUCCAGAGCUAUUCCACACACGUUGGAGGAGGUUCCUUGGAUGCUUAGGCUCCAAUCUACCAAGUUUAGGGUUAUUUCUUCCAUUCUUUCAUCAUAUUUUAUCUAGUUUCACCAUGAUUAUGGUCAACUAAACCCUAGGUUGUUGGGGAACAAUGUAAUCUUUUGAAACUCUCAUAUAUCCAAAUUCUUAUUUAUUUUAUAUGCUUGCAUAUGCUUGAUUUAUUAAUUGUUGGGUUCUUCACCUUUGCUUAAUGCUUUUAUAGUUUAACUCAUUUGGUAAAUGUUGUUUGUCUUUAUCGAUACGGGGACGUACAAUAAUGUCAUGAACUGGUGUUGAAUUCCUUGAUUAUGUUAAUACCACCUAGGGAUAGGGGUAGGACGAUCAAUUGUAUUUCGCUUCCGUUUAUCAUGCAUUAUUAAUUGCUAGGGGAGGCUAGGGAUAGNAAGCNGGUAAUUAGUAAUAGGCUUUUUUCACCAAGGGAUUAGGUUAAGGGUAGACCAAGAAAGUUUGCAUGACAAUAUGAUAAAUAAGCUAAUUAAAUAAGAAGAGUAGAUAUAUGAUGGUGGAUAAGAUGAAAUUGUAAACCCCAACAACUCCAUUCAUCCAUAAUUUCUUAAAGCCAAUUGAAUCAUUGCAUUUGCAUGUUUACUUUUGUUCUUUGCAUACACACUUCAACUUAAUUCUUUUCUCAAGUCUUACGUGAUUUGUUUACAUGAAAAGUAAGGCCUAAGAGUCCUUUGGGAAACAGUACUUGGACUUACCCAUUUAUAUUUCUUGAUAACGAUCUGGUACACUUGCCAGGGGCUUAACAUAUUUCACCUUUGAACCAGGUCGGAGUGUUGCUUCUUUUGAGUCAAGGUGGAUUCCUUUGUCAAUAUCUUCCUCCUUAGGUACCUGCAAAAUAUUACAAUCAUCAUUAGUACCUGUAUAUCUUCCAAUUGCAACAUCUCCCCUUGAAGCUUUAUACUUCGCUCUCUUUCUUGUCUGUGUUAUCUUCUCCUCAGAGCCAGUAUAAAUUAAGACAUUUUCUUGAUCUUUUAACAUAAUCCUCCCGUCAUAGAUACUCAUAACUAAUUCAGCAGUUUUCAUGAAAGGCCUUCCCAAAAUCAAUGGAAUCCUUUCAUUCGUGUCCAUAUCCAUGACUAUAAAAUCAACCGAGAACUCAAGAUGCUCAACCCGAACAAUCACAUCCUCCACCAUACCAAGCGGCAUCUUAGUAGAUCCAUCCGCUACCAUCACGGAAAUAUUAGAUGGUUUCAAUAUUAACCCUCCAAAAUUUUUCAGAUAACACAAAGGCAUCUUAUUAAUACUAGACCAAGAAUCUAGCAUAGCUCUUCCUACAUCCACAUCUCCUAUAACGCAUGGAAGAGUAAGACUUCUUGGAUCCUUCAUCUUAGCCGAAUGUUUUCGCCGUGUAUAAGCUUCCUGUUCUUCAAUAUCCUCUUCAUCAAGAUCUAUCACCUCUCCAAGAUAAUACUUAAUUCUCUUGGAGUACACAGGAAUAUGGCGGAGUAAUUUAACUGAAGGCAUGACAAUCACCUGAUUAAAAAUCUCUCUAAAUUGCUCACGGUGAUUUUCUCUUCUCUCAUUUUUUGUCUCCUCUUCUUCUUCUUCUCCUUCACUGCUUUCUAGCUCAAUAAUUUCUUUUUCAUCUUCCUCCCCCUUACUAUUCUCAAUUUCAAUGAUUUCUUUUUAUGCUCUUCUCUCGCUCAUGCUCACCACUACUUUGCAUUCCUCUUUAGGGUUAACAUCAGUAUUAGCCCUAAAUAGGUCCUUCUCUGUGGUUCCCACCCUCUUUGACAAUUGACCAAUCUGCAUCUCCAGAGUUCUGAAAUUGGCUUGGUGACUCGCAUAGUGAGAAUCAUACACCUUCAUAAAUUUAUCAAAUUUAUCAUUAAGGUCUCUAACAUUCUCUGUCAAAUUAGCCACUUGCUGCCACAAUGGUGGUUGUUGUGGUCUGUUGUUGAAAAGACCUCCUAUUUGCCCAGAUGGGUUAUUUUGACUUUGUCCAAUACUAGGAUGGUUCUUCCAACCUUGGCUAAAGUUUCCUUGAUUGAAGUUUCCCUGCCUAUAUUGGAAUUUAUUACCCAUAUAGUUUGCCUCUUCUUGCCUCUCUUAAAACACAGCACAUUGACCAUUAAUAUGGUCACCACCACAGAAAUCAAAAAGUUGUUGACCUUGAGACACAUUCCUAAUCUCCUUUGGAAGUUGAGCGAGAAUCUUUGUCAAAUUAUCAAGUUUCCGAGUGAGAAGGUGAUUCAGAGCUAGUAAUGCAUCAUCAACAGGAAAAUGUAGAACUCCCCUCUUUUGAGAUGUUGCACCCCUUUCACUAUGAGUCUCUUGCUCAUUCACAACAAUACUUUCAAUCAAAUCAUAAACAUCGUCCUCAGUCUUUUUCUUUAUGUCGGCUCCAGCUGAAGCGUCUAACAUCAUCUUACACUGUGUACUAAGGCCUCCAAGGAAUGCAAGAACCAAAUUUGUUUUAUCAAACCCAUGAACAGGAGUUUUUCUCAGCAAGCCUUUAAACCUAUCCCCCCUGUCCAAGAGUUUCCUCCCUGUCUGAAGGAAGAAAUCUCCAGCUUUCCUUGACUAAUUUUCGACUACGGAAAAUACUUAUUCAAAAAUUUGGACUCCACUGUCUCCCAUGUUGUGAAAGUUCCUUCAGGAAAGGAAUGUAACCACAAUUUAGCAUUGCCUCCAAGUGAAAGAGGGAACAAAUUGAGUUUGGUCCUAUCGUCUGAAACUCCAAUCAUUUUUACUGUAUUACAAAUCUCAUUGAAUGUUGUCAAAUGAUCAUAUGGAUUCUGAUUUGACAGCCCAUGAACUUGGUUGCUCUACACUAGAUGGACUAACGCAGGAUUCAUCACCAUGUUACUUGUGUUAUCCCUUGGCAUGGAAACAUUGUUGAAGUGCAACGGGCCAACAACAUUUGAUGCAUCUACAAGUGUGCGUUUAGGAGGAGCUUGCUCUGCCAUCUCUUCUUCUGUCCUUUGUGAAGAUGCCUCCGGUGAGGGUUGUAAUAGCCUUUCAGGAGAAGGGAAUAGUUCUCUAGACGGACGUCUAACUUUCUUCCCCCUCCUAUCACUCAAUCCUUCCAGAAAAGGUUGACUUUUCUUACUUUUGGUUUGAACUGCUUCCUACAUACACAAGAAACAAAAACCCUAAAAGAACUUUUUAUAUAAAGAAAAAUAAAACUAAUAAAACAAAAACAAAAUAUAUACAGAGUCAAAUUUAAUCAAUUUACACUACUUGAAAAGUUAAACCACGAGUCCCCGACAACGGAGCCAAAAACUUGUUAAGCCCCUGGCAGGUGCACUAGAUCGUAUCAAGUAAUAAUAGACAGUAAGUCCAAGAUCGUUUCCCAAGGGACUCUUAGGCCUUAUCUUUCAUGUAAAUUGAUUGCAUGAGACUUGAAGGAAGAAUAAUUUUGUAGUGUUAAUGCAAAACUAAAUAUAAACAUGCAAAUGCAAAUUUGAAUCAAUUGGCAAAUAAGAUAUAUGAAUAAAUGGAGUUGUUGGGGUUUAAUAUUUCAUCCUUAUCCACCCUCUUAUAUCUACUAUUCUUAUUAAAUUCGCUUUAUUAUCAAUGUCAUGCAACUUUCUAGAUUACUCUAAACCUGAUUCCUCGACGAAGAGAGCCUAUUUCCAAUUACUAGUUUACCAUUCCUAAUCUCCCUAGUAAUUACCAACGCAUUAAGUACUGAAGCUUAAAGCAAUUGAUCGUCCUACUCCUAUUCCUAGGCAGUAUUUCAUAAUCAAGAGAAUUCUUAUCAGUUCUAGACUUCCCUGUAUGUUCCCGUAUCGACAAAAUCCAAUAUCAUAACACCGCAUGAGUUAAACGAUGUAAGCAUUAACAUCAUAAAGGAAAACCCAAACAAUUAAUAAUAAAAGCAUGUGAAUAUAAUAAGAAAUUUGAUAAAAGAAAGUUUCAAAAGGACUACAUUGUUCCCCAACAACAAAGGGAUUAGUUCACCUUGGACAUGGUGAAACUAGAUGGAAUUAAUGGAAAAGAUGAAAGAGUAAACCCUAGAAUUGAUAAAUUGGAGCCUAAGCAUCUAAGAAACCGCCUCCAAGGAGUGUAGAAGGUGCUCUGAAGUCUUCCUCUGCCAAAAGAUUACCCUAAGGGUCGCACUGGGUCUAUUUAUAACGCAGAAAAGUAACAGAAUUUCGGCCCAGGCCCAUCAUUUAAGCGCUCAGCGCUCGUUUGACCGCUCAACUAUAACCCCUAUAAUUGUAGGACGCUCAGCAGUGGAACCUGGCGCCCAGCAUUGGAUCUCCAGAAUCACAGGACGCUCAGCGUCACCGCUCAAGCGAGAAAUAAUGGCUUCCUCCUCGAAGCUGGCGCUCAACACUGGAAUUGGCGCUGAGCGGUGGACCUUACUCUUCUCUUGUUUCUUUUCUCAUCCUUUCUUGAGUCUAAGUCUUCCCUUCUUCACUUCCAUCCUUCAAUUCUCAUCAAAUCUUGUCAAAACAAUGUAAAAACAAGCAUAAUAUCUCUAAAAACUACUUUUCACUCUCUUCUGACUAAACUAAGUGUUUUGCAUGAUUCGAAGCUCAUUCUAAGCUAUAAAAGGUGUGUUUUGAUAUCAAAUUUAAGUAUAAAAAUAACGGUUUUUAGACCGUUAUCACGCUGCACUUAGAAUUUUCAUUCCUUGUGAUUCAAGAAACUUUGUAAAGGUUCAUACUUUGUGAAAAAGAUUUGUAAAAGACUCUGAUUCUGAAACCUUACCAAUUCACCCCCCCUCUCGGUGUUGAAACGAAGCCCACCUGUUUUCCAACAGUUAUGAUCAUAUUGCCNUGGCCUACCAAGUAAUACAUGUCCAACAUCUAUUGGAACAACAUCACAUAAAACAUUUUCUUCAUAGUUGCCAAUGGAUAUUGGUAUGGUUACUUGGGUGUUGACUACUAUUUCUUCAUCCUCUUUUAUCCACUAAAGCUUGUAAGGCUUGGGAUGAGGAAUAAUAGGUAAGGCGAACUUGUUCACCACUCUAGAACUACAACAAUUGCAAGAAGAACCAUUAUCCACAAUUAAUGAACAAGGGUUUUCAAAAAUUUUGCAUCUUGUGCGGAGUAGGUUCUCCCUUUAGGAUUGUUCUAGUUCUUUGGUUUGACUUCCAAGACAUUGUCUAACCAAUAAUAACUCACCUUCACAAGGUAAGGCUUCUUCGUCAGAUAUGGAAGUAUCCAAUUCACUUGAAGAAUCCUCAUUUUCACUAUGAUAGUCUAAGAGAUAAGUAGACCUUUUGUGAGGACAAUCAAAAGAAUAAUGUCCUUGCUCUCCACAUUUAAAACAUCUGGUCUCUCUACCCCUUGUGUCUCUUGAAGUUCUUUGUGAGAGGUAUUUCUUUCUCGGUCUCUCUCUUUUCCUUUACCGCUCACUUUCUCUUUCUCUUUUUCUUUUUCUUGAGGCUUUUCAUACCUCAAAGGACUACCCUCCCUCUUAAUAUCUUUCCUAUACAUGAAGGUGGUAAGGGAAGUCCUUCUAGUGGAAGUUUUUCUUCUAUUUUGCUCUUCCACUCUCACACGUAGCUGGAUAAAGUCAUUGAGAUAUAAGUAAGGUAAAAGCUCUAUCUUAUCUUUGAUGUCAUAUUUAAGGCCGCUUUCGAAUCUAGCUAUGGUGAAUCUUUCUUCCUGUUUGAUUCCAGUUCUUAACAUGAGUAAUUCUAAUUUCUGUCGAUAUUCCUCGACACUCAUGUUUCUCUGUUGGAGUCGAUGGAGCUUGUCCAUGAUCUCCCGCGCAUAGUAUGCUGGGACAUGUCUGUGAUGCAAGGCUGCCUUUAACUCAUUCCAGUAUUGUAUGGUGUAGUCGCCAUGCAUCCUUUGUUCUCUGAUUACUGAUGUCCCCCAGUAUAGAGCUGCACCUUGAAAGGUCAAUGUUGCUAUUGUUACUCUCCUCCUAUCAUCAAUGUUGUAACACUCAAAAAUUUGUUCCACCUUCGUCUCCCACUCAAAGUAUUCAUCUACAUUAUCUCGGCCAUAGAAGGGGGAAGGUCAAAUUUAGAUUUCACAUGAUGUUCUCUGUGAUUGUAGUUUCUCCUAGGUGGAUGUUGAUAAUAGUCAUAAUGAUGACCACUAUUGUGAUCACUAUGAUGUUGAUACGUGGGGCCCAAGCCCACCAAAUAAAGAACAACCCAAAAACAUGGAGAGGGGUAAAAUAGACCUUUAUGCACAUGUAGGGGUGAGAUUAGCUUGAUAGGGGGUGCACCGGGAACUUUCUUAUUUUAGAAAUUGAAAUAAACGUGUACUCCAUAUAGAUUCUAGAAGCUAGCACAUUUAGCACAUGUCUUAGAAAUAGGAAACGUGAUUCAUAUUGGCUGAACACGUUCUUCAUCACCAAGCCAAAGGUUGAGGAGUCUAUAAAACUCACCUUGGCUGCCCAUGUAUUCACUUUUGGAUGAUAUUAGAGAAACUCUGCUAAAAUGCAUAGCUACUUUCUCAAGUCCGAGAGUCACCUCAUUGCUUGCCUCUCCAUUNCAUAGCUCAGGUAAGGAGGGAUUGAUUUUCUGAAUAUUAUCAUCGUAAUAACUCUGCUGACUUGAUCGUUGGAGUGCUAACCUGUAGGUACUCCCAUUCGGUGUUCCAGCUACUACGAGAGUUCAGAAACAAAGAACAGGUUCGCUGUGGUCUAUUGUAAUCUCGCUUCCAUCCGAAACAUUUUGGCGCCCACCGUGGGGCGAGAUAGCUACAAGCCUUUAAACGAUCACAAUGGCAGGAGACCUUUCGUUACAGUUACUUCAGGAAAUGCAACGUCAAAUGCAAGAAAUGAGAGCCGAAAUCGCUGCACUACGAGCCGAACGAGUUCAAAACAAGGCACUCGCUAAUUCUGUUCAACUGGAAACAUUACCCAUUGAAAGCGAAGAGAGUGGCCAUCAGGCCACUGAGGGAGAGGGGAUAAGGAGAAAUGGUAACGUCGGAGGAGGGAAUGAACAAGGUGAACACGAAAGAGAAGGUGGCAGAAGGGUAAACACAAGAAAUAGAGGAGAGCAGGAGGGAAAUCCUAACAGGCAGAACGGGCCCAGGGGUGGGGAGAAUGGCCCGAACGUAAGUAGAAGGAACGGUGUCGGAGGUGAAAACAGCGGAGCCAAUUUUAAUGGCCGUAAUGAUGGCCAUCAAAAUGCAUCAGCCGAACGGGUUCCAACCGUUAAUGAUCGGGAGGUGGAGAUACUCGACCAAGCAGAAGGUCUGCACCCAUUUACAGCACGUGUGAUGAGAACGGAUAUGCCAGAAAACAAGAUGCUACCUGCAAUGGAACGAUAUGGUGGCGCUACAGAUCCCAUCAAGCACCUCAGAUCCUUCAUCGACGCUAUGGCGGUAUACUCUCCGGACGAAAUGGUAUGGUGCAGGGUUUUUUCUUUAUCAUUGAAAGGAGAAGCCCUAGACUGGUUUCACUCACUGGCACCCCGAACGAUUGACUCUUUCGCUACCCUUAGGAGAUUAUUCAGCCAGCAAUACAUAUCAAGUAAAGCCCCUGGAAUGACGUAUACAACCCUGAUGAGAAUCAGGCAAGGAAGAGAGGAAACACUAAGAGGGUUCAUGGAAAGGUUUAACCGGACGGCCCGCCAAGUGCGAAAUGUCGAUCAAAGACUGAUAGUCAGCGCCUUGACUACGGCCUUAAGACCCGGACCUUUUGUGGACUACCUAUACGCAGAAGAACCACAAAGCAUGGCCGAUUUGCAACACAAAUUGGCAAGUUUCAUCCGAAUUGAAGAAGGAAGGGCUCAUCAUAAGGGCCAUGAUAAUGAACCAAAGGAGCAGAUAAGGAGGGAGGGACCGAAUAGAGGAACAUUAAGAAAAGAGGAACGACCGGUCGGGCCCAGAAGGGUAGACCCUCCGAGGAUAUUGCAGAACGUGCAUCACACCCCUCUCAAUGCACCUCGUACCAGAGUAAUGGAAGAAGCAUUGAGAGCAGACCUAUUGAAAGUGGUCCGUGCCCCUACACCUUUGGGAGCCAACCAAAGUAAGUAUUGCAAAUAUCACCAAAACAGGGGACACACUACAGAAGAUUGCAAUACACUGAAGGAUAAGUUGGAAGAUUUGAUUCAAGCCGGACAUUUACAAAAAUUUGUGCAACGCCACCAACCGUCAUUGCCGACCGACCAUAAUCAUCAAAAAAUCAAGAGUAGACAUGAUCGGAGUAGAAGUAGAAGCUGGAGUAGAGAAAGGGUUACGCGGGGUAUCAUAAACACAAUCUCGGGCGGAUUCGCAGGAGGAGGCCCAUCAAUAUCGGCCCGGAAGAGGCAUCUACGCAGCUUACAUCAUGUAAACCAAGUCGGAGCUGAGCGGAGAUCUCUGCCUAUAAUCUCCUUUUCAGACGAAGACUUCCAUGCUCCCGAUCCUGAUCAGGACGAUCCCAUGGUGAUAGUGGCAAUGAUCGCCCGUUAUCAAGUUGGUAAAGUUCUGAUUGAUCAAGGGAGCUCAGCAAAUAUUCUGUAUUGGAAAACAUUCAAACAGAUGGAUAUUCCCGAAGGGGCUAUUCAACCCUUUCAUGAACAAAUUGUAGGCUUUGCAGGAGAGCGGGUAGAUACCAGGGGGUAUGUGGAACUUAAAGUCAGUUUGGGGUUGGAAAAGGAUGCAAAGGAGCUUAACGUUAGAUUUUUGCUGGUGGAAGCAGACACGUCAUACAAUGCACUUUUGGGGCGGCCUUGCUUGAAUGCGUUCGGGGCAAUUGUGUCAACACCACAUUUAGUAUUGAAAUAUCCAGACGAUCGGGGUAAAGUGUGUGCCGUCCGUGCUAAUCAGAAGAUGGCACGGGAGUGUUAUGCAGCCGGACUCAAAGUGAAGAAACGGCUACUUACUAAACAGGAGGACCGAUCGACAGUAGCAAUGGCCGAUUUAGAUCCAAGAUUAAACUUGGAUGAUCGGUUGGAACCCAUGGGUGAAACUCAACCGAUCAUUUUAGGAGAUGCACCGGACAGGCAUACAGCGGUCGGGAAAAACCUAAGCAAAGAACAAGUGGAGGUAAUGAGUAAAAUUUUGCUCAAGAACAGGGAUCUGUUUGCAUGGGUACCAUCCGAUAUGCCGGGAAUACAUCCUGACAUUAUCUCCCACAAACUACCAAUAUUCCGCGAUGCUCGACCGGUCGCACAAAAGAAAAGAAGGUUAGGCCCCGAGAAGAGACAGGCUGUAGAAGAAGAAGUGCAGAAGCUGUUAGAUGCAGGAUUCAUCCGGGAAGUAAAAUAUACUACAUGGUUGGCCAAUGUAGUUCUGGUCAGAAAGUCUAACGGUAAAUGGAGAAUGUGCACAAAUUUCACCGAUCUGAAUAAAGCCUGCCCCAAAGACACUUAUCCUCUACCCAGCAUUGACGGUCUGGUUGAUGGGGUAGCUGGCUACAAAAUAUUGAGUUUUCUGGAUGCUUACUCAGGGUACAAUCAAAUACCAAUGCACCACCCUGACAGAGAAAAAACUGCAUUUAUUACCGAACGAGGCACAUAUUGCUAUAAUGUAAUGCCGUUCGGUUUAAAGAAUGCCGGAGCUACCUAUCAGAGGCUUAUGGAUAAGGUGUUUGAAAAGCAAAUAGGGCGAUGUAUGGAGGUAUACGUCGAUGAUAUGGUUAUACGAAGCCAUUCGUUGGAAGAACACAUCAAAGAUCUAGAGGAGGUACUAGGUCAGGUCAGAAAGUAUGGGAUGAGGUUGAACUCCGCCAAAUGCACGUUCGGGGUGAACGCAGGCCGUUUUUUGGGGUUCCUGUUGACCGAUAGAGGAAUAGAAGCAAAUCCUGAUAAAUGUAAGGCUAUUUUGGACAUGCGCAGCCCGAUCAAUUUAAAAGAGAUUCAACGCUUGGUCGGUCGGUUGACGUCCUUAUCACGAUUCAUCCCGAAAUUAGCUGAGAAAAUCAAACCCAUUCUAAAGCUUAUGCGAAAAAGCAGCCCCGAAGGAUGGAAUGAAGAGUGUGAAGGAGCCUUCAGGGAAGUUAAGAAAAUCCUGAUUGUCCCGCCCGUCAUGGGAAGACCCGAUCCCGGUCACGCGCUACAUAUCUUCUUAGCAGUAACCGACGCCGCCAUCAGUGCAGCUCUGAUCCAGGAACAACCUCAGUUCAGGUUGGUUUACUUUGUUAGUCGAAGCCUGAAGGAUACAGAAGUCCGGUAUCAAAAGUUAGAGAAGGUAGCCCUGUCUCUUUUAUACGCCGUUCGGCGUCUCCGGCCUUACUUUCAAGGACAUCAAGUGAUAGUCCGAACGGAUUACCUAAUAGCUAAAAUCUUACGCAAACCAGAUUUAGAUGGAAUGAUGAUAGGAUGGUCCGUCGAGCUGUCUGAGUUCGGAUUACAGUACGAACCUAGAGGAUCAGUAAAGAGACAACACUUAGCUGAUUUUGCAGUUGAAUUGCCAUAUACAAUACCCGUUAAUGCUUGGAAACUUUAUGUAGACGGGUCGUCAUGCAAAGCAGGAGGAGGAGCGGGAAUUGUGCUAGAAGGACCGAACGAUAUGAUCAUCGAACAAUCUAUCUUGUUCAAGUUCAAGGCAAGCAAUAAUCAGGCUGAAUAUGAAGCAUUGAUUGCAGGAAUGGAGCUCGCUCGGGAUGUUGGCGCAGACACUUUGGCAUGUCAUACGGAUUCUCAAGUGGUGGAGGGGCACAUGAACGGUAAUUACCAAGUGAAAGAUGAUCAUUUACUACGAUAUUUCCAUAAAGCGAAGCAGUUGCAAGCAUGUUUUGAUGAAUUCACAAUCACUUAUGUGCCACGAGAACAAAAUAUUCGCGCCGAUCGGUUGUCCAAAUUAGUUCAUGGGAAAGAGAAAGGGGUUUUGAAUUCAGUGAUUCGGCAGGUAUUAUCCGAACCAACUAUAGGCAGUUAUGCCAUCUAUUCUCAACUCAAUGUGGAUAGUUCCGAAACCAAUGUGGACAGGCAGGCCUGUUGGAAAGAUGAGAUUAUUCGGCUCAUACGACGACAGGAUGAGGGGCAUAACUUACAGACAGAAGAAAUAAAGAAAAUUUCCCGAUAUUGUUUGAUCGGGGACGAUUUAUACCGAAGGGGAUACGUUACCCCGAUCAUGAAAUGCCUAUCUACGGAAGAAGCAAGUUAUGUCUUGCUUGAACUACAUCAGGGCAUAUGUGGUAGACAUACAGGAGGACGUGCACUGAAGGCACGCGUUCUGAGGGCCAGAUUCUUUUGGCCUACAUUAGAACAGGAUUGUCUGUCCUUUUCGAAAAAAUGUGAAUCCUGCCAGAAGCACGGCAAUGUUUUCCACGCCCCAGCAUCAGAAUUGCAUAACAUAUUCUCCCCUUGGCCGUUCGCCCAAUGGGGAAUGGAUGUAGUGGGACCAUUCCCGCUCGGUCGAUCCCAAAAGAAGUUCCUCCUGGUUGCCAUAGACUACUUCACAAAAUGGGUUGAAGCCGAACCACUGGCCAAAAUUUCUACUGCACAGGUCAAACGAUUUAUAUGGCGUCUCAUAUGCAGAUUUGGCCUGCCUAAGACGAUAAUAACAGACAACGGGAGGCAGUUUAUAGACAAACGGUUGCAAAGCUUUUAUAAGGAGUUAGGCAUCACAAGUGUCACAAGUUCGGUAGAACAUCCUCAAACAAACGGGCAGGCCGAAGCAGCGAAUAAAAUCAUCCUAAACGAGUUAAAGAAACGUUUGGGGGAAGCUAAAGGAGGAUGGGUAGACGAGAUCGAUCAUGUUUUGUGGGGAUAUCGUUGCUCCCCGCACGGGUCUACAGGGGAAUCACCGUUCAAUUUGACCUAUGGCACAGAUGCCAUGUUACCUGUGGAGGUUGGAGAACCGACCGUUAGGCGACAACUGUCGGACAUGACAAUCAAUGACGAACAACUCAGAGGCAAUCUAGAUGUAAUUGAAGAACGACGUCAUGUGGCAGCCAUAAAAAACGAAGCAUACAAGAGAUUAGUAGCCCGAAGGUAUAACACUAAGGUUAAACCUCGACGGUUCGUAGAAGGGGAUCUUGUUUGGCGUAAGACGGCCGACGCAAGGAAAGUUCCUUCUGAAGGAAAGCUGGCAGCAAACUGGGAUGGAUCGUUCAGAAUAAAAGAAGACUUAAACAACGGAGCUUAUCGUUUGGAAUACUUAACCGGCGACAACAUACCGAACACUUGGAAUGCAUCUCUUCUGAAAUUUUACUUUAGCUAAUUCCCAAUUUUAUUUCUUUUGGAAAAUAAGGCGAGGUGAUCCUAUGCACUCACCCACUCAUUAUAUUUGCAAUACUUUAUGAAUAAAUUCAUACGUACCUUUACAACCUGAUCAGUAUUAUUCCUUCGUUUAAAUUUGUUAUUCUCAUGUUAUCAUCGUUAUUGGUGAAUAAGGUGAUACUUAGCAAGUACGGGGAAUAAGGAGUUCAUUAUCUUUUUGAUCGAGCUGUUAUUGGUGAAUAAGGUGAUACUUAUCAAGUAAGGGGAAUAAGGAGNUCAUUAUCUUUUUGAUCGAGCUGUUAUUGGUGAAUAAGGUGAUACUUAUCAAGUAAGGGGAAUAAGGAGCUCAUUAUCUUUUUGAUCGAGCUGUUAUUGGUGAAUAAGGUGAUACUUAUCAAGUAAGGGGAAUAAGGAGCUCAUUAUCUUUUUGAUCGAGCUGUUAUUGGUGAAUAAGGUGAUACUUAUCAAGUAAGGGGAAUAAGGAGCUCAUUAUCUUUUUGAUCGAGCUGUUAUUGGUGAAUAAGGUGAUACUUAUCAAGUAAGGGGAAUAAGGAGCUCAUUAUCUUUUUAAUCGAGCUAUUAGCUCAUUAUUAUGGGAAAAUAAGGUGGUACCUACCGAACGAGAAGAGUAAUAGUUGGCUAUCUUUUCGAUUAAGUGAAUCGCUUCUUUAUAACACCCUCAUUAUCGUUGAACGAGGUGGUACGUACCGAUUACACAAAGGUUUUAUUGGUCGUCCGAUAGAAAAUGAUACUUUUAGUAUUUUUGAUAACGAAGACUAGUCAUAAUACUGAAGUGUUCAUACAGCAUUUAACAUAACAAAUAUAAUAAUUGUUCACAACACACCAACAUUCUUAUAUAACUACUAUCAAGCAUUACUCAAUUUUUAUCAGCAGGAUCGGUAGUCUUGGAGGCCAGAUCGGCAUCAGUUGGAACCUGAUCAUCUAGUUCUGCUCCCGCAUUUGUCGUGACCUGGUUGCCCAAAUCAAUUAACUUCCCAUCAACAAUCACCUUCAUGAUGUCAAAAUGCGGAUCGGCCAUAGGGGUCUGGAAGAAAUGAUGACAUUGAGCAAUUCCUUGUUCAAAUCCUAGUUCCCUUUCUAAGCACACUUGAUCCCCCAACCGGGCUGUCUCCGCAACCAAGUUAUCCCGCUCAGUGGUCAGGUCGUCCUUUUCUUUAGCCAAAUUCUUAAUUUUACUGGUCAAUUCGGCAAUACUGGUGUUCGAGGUAUCUAGGGAGGCUUUAAGGUUGGCUACUUCUUUCUGCGACUCCUUAAGUUGCUCUGUUGCGCGCACCCGAUCAUCCUCAGCCGCUUUGGUCAAUUCUUCAACACGAAGUGUCAAGGCAAUGUUCUUCUUCUUAAAAUCUGCCAAUUCACUCAUGGCUACUUCCAGUUCAUUCACCAACAAAGGCUUGGUUGUCCCAGCAGAAUAAUUCAAACAAACACUUGCGCGAGCAAUCAACUCGUAUGCCAUGUUGAUGGAUUCACUGGGUGUCAUCUCCUUGAAUGGUUUCCUUUCAUCCGGGGAGAGGUUGAACUGCAGCCGAUCGGACACAUGAACAUCGGGUCUAGUGGCCCGGUCAGUAAAGGCAUACUCACUUUCUGUUUUUUAGGCGGAGAGGGUGUUUUUUCCGCUUUCCUCUUAGGUUUGCCCCUUGUUGCGUGGGACUUGGUGGCUUUGGUCUCAACCACAUCGUCUACUGAAUCAGUUAUUUUUAAAGCCGGAUUAACUGUAGGAGUAGAUUUCGCUGGUGACGCCGGUGAGGAGGAACUUUCAGCAAUUUUCUUUAGUUUUUUCUGAGCCAUCAAUCGAGCGAAAGCAGUGUGUUGAUCCAUUCCUUCAGACAGCUCUGCAAGUAAAAGGUAAAUUUAGACAAGUCAAUAAUGAUGGACGAUCGGCAAACGGUAGGAAGCAAGACGUACCUAAUACGGUAGUUCGUAACUCCUCGGUGCCGAGAAGUUUUAUCAGUAUACGGGAUGACGUCUUGCGGGGUAACUGAUCGAUCUUAUUGACAACAUUCAACUCGUCAUCCGUCAUAUCUGUUAGUGGCCAUGAUUCUAACCGGGUAAGCUCUUUGGUCCAAUAUAACGGAAAUUUUGGUUCACCAUUGUUUAAAAAAUAUUUUGGCCGACCUGGUUCCCGAAUAGCUAUUUUACAGUAAUUGGCUUUAAAGUCUUUGUAUGAGGAGUUAAAAGAAGUGAAUAGUUGUUUAUCUUUAGCCGGAAGGAGGGAUAUCCAAGAUCUACUGGAGUUAGGAAAUACUCGGAAGAAAUGUAAGAAAGAUUUAGGGGUGGGAUCAAGCUGCAGACCGGUGCAUAACACCUGAAAGGCUUGCACACAAGCCCACUCGUUAGGGUGAAGUUGGGCAGGGCAUAUGUUCAAGUAUUUUAAUACUCCCAUUUGAAAUUCAGUGAAGGGCAGUCUUACACCUAAAUCUUUGAACAAUGUUAUAUAUACAUAGAAAAAAUCUAAACUAUACCCCUCCCGACCGUGACAGGCCCUUUCAUUCGAACGACUUACUACUAGAGUAUAAUCGUCAACAUCCCUAAAGUCAGAUAAAAUAUAUACCUUUUGUAAUAGAUGCCUUAUGGUAGCUCUACGAAUAUAGUAAGGAAGGUAGGUUUGUACCUCAUGGGGAGCCCAUUCGUACCCUUCUACCCUCGGCGGUGCUAAAAUGGACGUCCAUGUCCGGGAAUCGUCGAUAUUGAAUUCGACAUAAAAGUGACCGGACGAGCUACUAGAAUCACUGGAAUUGCUGACGAUGACUUACUCCUAUGAUCAGCACCCCCCGGACAGUCAUCCUCAGUAUCAGUUGAUGAAGAAGAGGAAGACAUUACCUUGCUUCGAGUGGCGGUCGGCAAUAUCGGUAGCCCGUUCAGUAUUCAAGAGCAAGGGAAGUGUACAGAGUGAAAAUGACAGUGGUCCCUCCCCCCUAUUUAUAGCCGCAAUAGACGGUUUCAUAUCUUCAUCUCUGCCGUCCAUUACCUCCAUAUCUAACGCUUCAGAUUUUAUGCCUGUUCACGUCCUUCGUGAUGACGUCAUGGCUUAAUCUCAGCCAUUCCUCAUUGUUCAUCCUACGGCUGGAGACCAAACGUUUUUUCCAAGAGUAAUAACUAUUUAUCCGUUAUGUCUCUUCAGUCAAUACAUUUAUUUAUUCAGAAACCCUUACACUCUUGGCAUCGUUAAGGGCUCGGGGGGCUUAUGUAAUAUAGAUGGCUCAAGUCGAUCGGGGUCACGAAGAGGAAGAUCGGGAAUGAGUUAAUGCCGAUAGGGAGAAAUACGCUCAUAGAGGAUAGCUGGUGACCUNUGUAAAGACUACAAGAAAAAGGUCAGAAGAGUUUGGUAGAUCGGGAGAUAGGCCAAGAAGAUCGGGGUGAGGAUUAUACCGAAGAAGUAGCGAUAGUUAAGUUAGUGGAGAGAGUUCGCGGAUUUAGCGGAGCGAAUGGCGGAGUAAAUAUCUAGAAGGAGGGAAGUGGUUGCUACUACGNUUACAGCUAACAGCUAAGUUCGCGGAGAAAAGUACGGAGUACGUGACUAAGCGUAACGUGCCUCCUAUUAUUGUGGAUAUAUUUCUCUAUAAAUAGGCAAGCAUAGCUCAGGUAAGGAGGGAUUGAUUUUCUGAAUAUUAUCAUCGUAAUAACUCUGCUGACUUGAUCGUUGGAGUGCUAACCUGUAGGUACUCCCGUUCGGUGUUCCAACUACUACGAGAAUUCAGAAACAAAGAGCAGGUUCGCUGUGGUCUAUUGUAAUCUCGCUUCCAUCCGAAACAGGUAUGUUUAUCGAAAUAUAAAAAAUCAAUAUAAUGAAAUUAAUAUUUUUUUUAGAAAUUCUUUUUAUAUGAUAAUUUUUUAUUAUUUAAGAAUAUGACCCUAUUGUAUCACAACGGAAAAAUCGACUCUUCAAACAAAAGUAUAUUUAUUUUUUAUUUUAGAACAGUUAGCACUUUUAUGUUGAAAACUCUUGAACUUGAGUUCGUUAAGACAAAUUUUCCAAACAUACGUUAAGUAUGUCAAAAUGUAUCCAGUGGAAAAAACUCAACCAUCUCUAGUGGGAAAAAGGAACAAUUAUCUUAACUUUAUAUGUCAUAAAAAUUAGUUUCAACAUAUUGAAAGCAUAAAUCAUUUAUCAUUUAAUAAUAAAAUGUUCUAAGAAUAAUUAUAAUUGUAAUAUUGUGCUCAAAACAAGAAUCAUUAUUCAAUUAUUUAGGAUAAUAAAACCAAAUUCAACCAAUAACAAUUUAAUCACACUUUAAUUAAGAAUAACAUAAUGAAUACAACUAAAAUAUAGAAUUCUUUUUAUUCUCUCAUAUAUAGACACACAUUUUUAUCACAUGGAGGUAUAAUUUUUUUUCUAGUUACAUGAUUGUCAUUUCAUACUUUUAUUAACAUCAUUUUCUAAAUAUUGUGUUGGGUGGAACUCCAUUUAAUACUUAGACAUUAUUAUUAUAUCUCAUUUUAAAUGAGUUCAUAUCUCAAUAAGGAAUUUUUUAUCUUCUCCCUUAUUCAUAUUUCAAUAAAAACAUUUUGCACCUAUCGUGAAUCUACAAUAAAAAUCUUCUAAGCCAUUAAUAACAGAUUGUGUGAACAGUUUUAUAGUUUUAUUGUAUAGUGAUUACACUUUCUAGAUGUUUUAUUUUUUUAGAAGAUCAUUUUUACGUUUUAGUAAUAAAAUGGAUUAUGUGACAAAUUUACUUUAAUUUUACAUUUUUAGUUCAUCUAAUCUUGAGUAAUUGUUUUGAUCAUGACUUCUUUUUGUAGAUAUCAUUUUGGGAUUAUUUCAGUUGUAAUAGAUUUUAUACUUUUGACACUUUAAUUUGGAAAUAUGAUUUGUUGAACUUGGACUCUUGUGUUAUGUUUUAUUAUUUUUAGAAUGAUUUACUGUAGAGUUGUAAAAGGGAUAUAUGGAUUAGUUUCUUUCUUUAUAUUAGCAUAGAAUUGUAAAAGGGAUCUAUGGAUUAGUUUCUUUCCUUAUAUUAGCUUGUAUUUGGCGCUUCUUUCUGCACCUCAUAGUUUUCUUUCCGCAUCCCUAAUGUUUUGAAAAGGCCAAUAAGUGUCUUCGGCUUUGAACAGAGUAAAAACCUUCAUUUCUACUUAUCUCUCUCACUUUUGCUCUGCACCUCCCAGCUCCUCCUUCACAACUUUUAUGUCGCACAACUCUUGUUUUAUUCCUCUCAACUCAUUGAUAUGGAACAACAUGCCUAGAUAGAAUUAAAACUAAAAACUAAAGAAGACAAAUUAGAAAUGAAAUUAAAAAAACCAAAAUUGAAAUAGAAAAAGGAAAGGAAACUUAUGAAUUUGAAGACAUACUACUUGGAAGGAUCCAAGAUAAUUGUCAAGGAGGAUCGUCCAUUAUUCUUCACAAGAUAAGACUUAAAUUUAUAUUAAGAGACAAAAUAAUAUCUCAAAGAAGUAAUACAAUUGAAUGCAAAACACUCUUUAUAUUCAAAUUUUAAGGUGUAUAUACAAAGGAGACCUUAGGUUGCUUAUAUAGCACUAUGAGAUGAAAAAGGUUGAGAAAACUAAGGGAUGUGGACUUAGAGACCUUAAAUCUGAAAUGUAGCUUCUAAAAUAGGUUUUAGGUCCCACAACUCUCAAUUCUACAUCAUCCUAAAGGUAUAUAAGCUAUCUAACUAGCUUAAAGUUCAAAACUAAAACUAUACAAGAGGUAACUUGCAUUACAAGCAACUAAAAGGAGAAGAGACUUUUUUUUUUUUUUCUUUUAGUUCCAAACUGUAACACCCUUAAUAGAAUGCCACGUGUUAAGUAAUAAAGUGAAAAAUUUUAUAAAUUCCUUCUCGUCAAUUUUUUUUUCCAUAAUGUAACAUCGUUGAAACAAAACUUCAAUUGUUCAAACAUUCUUACAUCAUUACAAUUCAAAUCUUACAUAUCCUUUUUAAAAGUCAAAUGUUUGAACAAUAAAAGAUCUUUAAAUAUAAAAUCACAGCAAUAAUUAUUUCCCAUCUCUCUAAUUGUAUUACUCUAGUCCUGCCUUAUCUGUAACAUCAUCUCCUCUCAUACAAGUACGAUAAUUGCAGGUGGAAUCACAACUACAAUAGGCAAGGGUGAGUAACCAAAAAAUAUAACAUAACAUAUGUCACAAAAUAAUGUCAUCAAAGGCGGACUAUAUGUAAUGCCCAAAAUCUGGGAGUCACUUAGAGUAACAAAAAUUAAAGAAAUUUGCUAAGUCCAUAAUGUAAUUAAAGUUUUCCUUUCAUAAAAGUACUGAAGAAGGAGUUAAUCAAAAAUCUGGUAGUGGGGACAACUUGCACAUAAGCUCUCUCCACCAAGCUCUCUGAUCCUAGAAAUAUCUUUUCUGAUGGCCAUGGUCCUAGAUGCAGGGAAUAAUUUCUCCAAAAACAUUCUCUUAAGAUCAUCCCAACUAGUGAUGGACUUGGGAGCAAGAUAAUACAACCAGUCCUUUGCCACUCCCUCCAAUGAAUAUAAAAAUGCCUUUAAGAAUAUGUGAUCUUCAAGGACAUUUAGAGGUUUCAUUGUGGAACAGACUAUAUGGAAUUCCUUCAGAUGUUUAUGAAGGCAUUCACCUACAAGACCAUGGAACUUGGGCAACAAAUGUAUUAGUACAGUCUUGAGAACAUAUGGAACAUCUUCAUCAGGAUACUGGAUGCACAAACUCUCAUAAGGGAAAUCAAGUGCAGCCAUCUCCCUAAGAGUCCUCUCACAAGGUGGAGGUUGAGUCAUAUUACUCUCAGUAUAAAAACCAGCAGAAUCAGAAUCAGAAGCAGUAUGCACAAAAUAGAAAUUAGUAGACACAAAAGGAGAAUGCUCAGAAUUAUUUAAACUAAUGAUAUCUAGUGGUAUAGACUCUAAAGAUAAAUCUUAGAAUUCCUAACUAAUCUAUGGAAGGUCCUAUUGAUUUCAGGAUCAAAGUAUGGUAGUAGUCUCAUAUUGCCUCUAGUCAUGCAUUAUGUCAACACAUAUCAUUCAAAUUCAACACAAGCACACAUAGGGGUAAAACUGGAAGUAUACUCAAACAUUGUCCAAAUGAUCUGAAAAUCUUUUAGCAACACCCUAAAAUCAUGAAAAGAUGGCACACCAAAUUUCAAAGAAAAAUUCAAAGGAUAAUUAUAUCAACCACAAAAAGAAAGUUUGUAAAAACAGGGAAAUAAAACAUCAAAAAUAAAAAAGAAAUAGAAAACAUCUUUUUGAAGAUCUGAGCAUUGUAAACCAAUUACGCAAGUUGGGAUCAAUAAAUCUCAAUGUCCAAAUCAUAAGUUAUGGUAGUUAAAGUUUUCACAAAUCUAGGUCUCAAAAAAUUUUGAAUCUCAGAAUUGGGACUACUAUAGGUGCCUAUGGGAUUUGUCAAUUAAAAUAUAGAUUGAAAGAAGUGAACAUACAAAAUUUCAAGCAAAAACAACACCUCUAACUAUGAAAACAAAAAUUGCCAAUUAAUUAGGAAAAUUGGAUACUAUUCAUGCACUAUUCACAACAUUAUUCAUCUUGUUCAUUGAAUUUUCAUGUCAAAACAUGUUAAAUAGCUUGAACUCUCCAAAUUCUACCUUGUUUAACAUGCAACCCGUAUCAAUAGAUGUAGAAAAAUGCAAGACAACAUCAUGGAUGGACUUAAUUUAACAUGAAACAAAUCAAAACAAAAUGUUCGACAGAAACCGUUGGUCCCCAGCAACGACACCAAAUUUGAUCCAUGUCGUACUCUAUGAAAUAAAUGCAAUUAAAUGCAACACUAAGAAGUGACUCCUAGGUCAUCUCUCAAGGACCAAUUCUCUCUCUGUCAAAGCAUCGAACACGUAGUGGGGGGUUGAGUAGAUUAUAUGAAUUAAAAUAAAAUGAGCAAAUAGUGUAGAUUAAACAAUUAUUUAAGACAGGUUGGCUACUAGUUAGAUUGUAAUGCCUCUAUUCCUGAAUUAAAAAUAAGUCAUUCUUUUCUCUCACCCCCAAUCCAACACGAAUCAAUCAACUAAGCGGAGAUUAAUAUGAUUUUCAUGACUAUGAAUUAAGCAAAUGCACACAUAGAUUUAAUCACUUCUGCACUAGAGAUUAAGCAAUCAGGUUUAUAUGUAUACAAAUUAGACCAUUAAGCAUGAACCAAAUUAUAACACACACAACUAGAUUAAAUAUGAUCCAGAGGAAAGAGGAGCAGAAAAGCAAUGGUGCAAUAAUCUCAAGGAAAAAUUACAAUCAUUCUAGUUACCAAAUCAACAGAUUUAACCUUCCAUUAAACCAAAUUGCAACAUAGAGAAGAACACAAACUGUAAUUCAUUGAAGAACAAUGGAGGUUAGAAAAUAGGAACAACAAAAAAUGACUAAGAAAAAAAGGAAAAAUGAGAACGAAAAACCUAAGACCCCUUUAGCAGCUCUUACGUUCUAAAGGCCAAUUCCAAAAUUCAGGCUGCAUGGGUCCUAAAACUUAGGCAAGUUUACCUUACCCAUUCUAAAAAUGGGCCCAACUCAUAAAUCUGACCCAAAAUUACAAUGAAAUAAAAUGCAAACGAAACAAAAAAUGAUGAGGUGGGCAAUGGUGUUGUGCUGACGUGGUAGAUGACGUGGCAACUCCUCUUGAAGUACAGAAUAAAAUUCCAAAAUUUCCCUGAAAAUAAUAAUGGGAAUAAUUAUGCUCACAAAAAUCAAAUUAAUUAAAAUAUGAAUUACUGGUCGAAUUAAACCCAAAUAGAAAAAUUGAGAAAAAUAAUAGAUAGUUAAGCACAAUUCAAUAAUUAAACCUAAUCUAGAAAGAUAAGUAAAUAGGAGAAAAUAAUGAUUCAUCAAGUGGCUUGGCAAGAGAUGGGAAAAUUAUUACUUUGAGAUUUUGUUUAAAUUUAAUUGUUUUUUUCCGAAUUGGUGUUUUUAAAGGAUAUGUAAGGUUUUAUUUUUGCAUUGUAUGUACAUCUUAUAAAAUUGUGGUUUUUGUUUUCGUGGUUAUACUUUAUAAAAGCUUUUGAGUAAAUGGUGAGAACGAUUUUACAUAUUUUGUGUUGAGUAAGAUUGAUUAUUUCUUUACACAUGGCAUCCCAUUAGGGGUGUUACAAAACCAAGGUGCAGUUGAUAUAGAAGUUUUUGGUUGAAUUAAUUAAUUUAAGGUAUGUGUAAUAAAGGAUCUAGCUCAAGCGACCUACCAACUAUGGAAGGAAGUUAAAGGGGUAAAGGGAGAACUUAGAUUGAAGGUGACUUUUCAAGAAAUAGGGAGUUGGAGUCAUCUCAACAGCGUAACACUGUGCAUCAAAAAGUAAUUAAUACAAUGGAGGAGAGUUGUUUUUAUAGAGUUUGCAGCACCUUUGCACAAGGAUGAUAUGUUGUUGAUCACCAACCACUAAUCUAGGAUCACAUGCCACGAGGAUGCAGCGUUUUACAUGUGUUAAAAUUCGAAAAAAUCACCAAAAACACUGCAUGAGAAAGAGGUCUUUGCGUAGCCACUGGGCACAAGUUAGGAGGCGGUGAGUGAGCCAAAUCUGAAAGCUAAAGUGGGUUGCCUUCUUCAUGGACUGAAAUGGACUUCAAGUGGGCUUCAUUUGGGUCCAAAAGCUACCAAUGGAAUUGAGUAUAUAAUGAUUGGAGAUCCUUUGAUGUAUCUCCAAGUUAUUCUUGAAGCUUCCUAGCCAUACCAUGAGUAAUGAAUCCUUGAAUGGAGUUUGGACUUGGGCCCAAGUCAUCAUAAUCUAAACCCAAAAAUUAAAGAAGAUGUUGGUUGUUUGAACAAAGCCAAAGUGUUUUAGAACUAUUGGGAUGCAAUUGUGUUGGAACAACAUUCAUUUUAUUAAAAACUUCCUUUUUGAAUGGAUCAAAAGGAAGAUGUAACCCUAACCAAACAGAAAAAAGGACCUUUAGGGGAGGAAUUUGUUGAUAGGGGGAGCUUAACCUCUUUAUAUCUUAGUUUUUUUAUGAUGAAUAAUUAAAUGAUUAUUAGUGGUUUCUUGCAUAACAAAUGGCAUAACAAAUGUUUUAUCUUUAUCAUGUUUGUGCUAGAUAUGUAAUUCCAUUAGUGUUGAAUGAAUGAAGCUUAAAACAGAUUAAUAAUCUCAUUUCUAGUAUAAAUAAUCGAUUAAAUCAGUUAUAUAAUCUGUUAGAUUUAGCUAGAUCACUUAGAAAGCUAACAUGGGAAAACUGCUCUGUUAUAAUCGAUUAUAUAGGGUACAUAACCGAUUAAAAUGGAGAACAAGCCAUAAUAUAUUAUAUAUGUGAGAUAAUCUAUUAAGGAUGGAAAAUGGAUGGCUAAUAUGGCUAAGUGUGGAAAUAAUCAAUUACAUAAGUUUGAUAAUCGGUUAAAACAGUGAGCAUAGUCUAAUCCAUUAUAUAAAUAGCCUAAUUUGUUAAGAGUGUUAAAUGAAUCAAUAAUAGGCUUAAGUGUUUAAAUAAUCGAUUACACACAUAGGAUAAUCUGUUAAAGUAGAGAAAAAGAAUAAAAGAUUACGCAAUUAACAUAAUUGAUUAUACUGCAGCAAAUCCUAUAUAUAUGUGUCUUGAAACCUGUUUCCAAAACGUUAACAUUUUCAAAUACUGAAAAAUCUUCUGAGUUUGUGUACAGGUGCUCUCAAAGAAACAUUCUUGUAGGAAUUAAAACUUCCUUGGUGUUCAAACAACAAGGAUUCAUUCAAGGUAAUUGGACUACAUUGGUUCUGAUUAAUUCUACACUUUGAAGAGUGUGUUCAAGAUCAGGUUCUUCAACCAAUUUAUAUUAUGUACCUGUGCUGGUUAGUCAGGUUUCAAGAGUUGGGAUUACUCUUCGUAUUUGUAAGAGAUUGAGGGUGUUCAUAUCUUGUGUUGCUAUUUUGAUUUUGAGUGGUGAGAGGAGUGCAUUGAGAGGGUUGUCUCUGUAUUCUUGUAUACUUAAUCAUUAUAGUGGAAUCCCUUCAACUAAGGUUAUUGAAGGAAGACUAGAUAUAGGUUUGUGAUAACCGAACUAGUAUAAAUUGUUUGUGUUAAUCUUUCUUUUCUUUUUAUCUACUUAUUGAUUCAUUAUUCUUUGUUUAUUAAAAGUAAAAAAAAAAAUGUAUGAUAAAAAAUGUAUACUUUAAUUUAAGGUAUACCUUGUUUGUUUGUUGUUUUAUUAAAAAUACAAAAAUAGUCUUUUAAAAGUUAGAGUCUUUUAAAAGUUAGAGGUGAAAUAAUAAGUAACAAAAAAAAAAGUAAGAAAGGUGAGUAAAUUACUUUAAAAUCUAAGAUAUAUGUAACUUAAUUUAUUUAUAAAAGUAGCUUUUUCUAAAUUACUUUUUAAAUAUUUAACGUGUCAUGUUUUUUAUAUUUUAUUUUUUAUUUAUCUAUAAAUAUUAGUUGUUAGAAUUUUUUGGUUGAAAAUUUGAAUUUAUAAUAUUUUUUAUUCUCCCUUUCAAAAUCUAUUAAACUUUCUUUAUAUCUAUCAAAUGUUAAUAAAAAAGUUGAACAUAAAUUUUAUUUUAUUUUCUUUUCCUUCCACCUUCCUACUAAGUCAUUAUGAUUCCUGAAAAACAAUUGCUAUGAUUUGCUUUUACGUUUGAAAGCAAUAUAUAUAUAUAUAUAUAUAUAUAUAUAUAUAUAUAUAUAUAUAUAUAUAUAUAUAUAUAUAUAUAUAUAUAUAUAUAUAUAUUCGCUUUCAUUAUUACGUAGACAAUUGAGACAAUUAUUGAGAAUGUUUGAGAUGUUCAUAACAAAAUUAAUAGGAAGAUCUGAUAUCAAUUUGGUCCAACCUUUGCGAAGGAGAUCAUCACCGAAACGAAUAAAAGGUAUUUGUUGUCUACAAUUUUAUUAUUGUCCCCUUUCUUUGUCUGCCAUUUUUCUUUCUCAAGACCAAUAUUAGUAAUACUAACACAACUUUUCAGAUUAUUUUUUAUUAUUUACUAAACUAUAUGAAAAAUUAAUUUAUUUAUCUUCAUUAUUAUUAUUUGAUGAAUUUAUGUAACAUUUCCAAUUAUAUAUUAAACUAACGGAGCUAUCAUAUAAUUAAUAAAAUAGAAUAGUUAACAGGAUAAAAAAUAAAAGUUUUCAUUAUAGUCAUUUAUUAUAACCAUAAAAUUAAAAUUUUAUACAAAUAGCAAAACUAUAUACAACAAACUAGUAUAGAGAAAACAAAACAUUUGUUAUCCUUCCAUCCAAAGCUUGUUUCACGGUCAACUCAUCGCCCUAUGCUCACACCACUAGAUGAUCAUAACUAAGAUAAAAGCAGAAGAACAUACCAACAAUACUCAAACAAAAAGGAUAAGUUAGUGAUACAAAACAAUUCAUAAUAUACUUUAAGCAUUUCAUACUUGGAUCAUAUUUAUCACACAAACCAAACAUAUUAAACAUAUCAAGACCUAGACUAGACUAUCCGAAUUUAGUAUGAAUGUCGAUCUAUGGCAGGUUGUACACUUGUGGUGACCUCUACUUCUUUGCAAAGUCAUUGUCAACAAGUUUCACCCUACCACACUCACUAGGUUAGUUUGUACCAUGUCUUAGGUCAUACUCGAAGCACCUAGACUAAGACAUCUUGUUACUCUCACCACAUAUAUCAAUCUUCUUUAAUUGAGAAUGAAUAACCAUUAGAGUUUCAAGAUAACUCCUAAGACUGAACUCCCUACAUUCAUACCAACAACACUAGAAAUUCUUCCUUAGAAUUCUUUUACCACAGUAUCCAAAUUAGUGCAUCAAAAUCACAUAACAACCUAAAAAUUGGAAAACCAAAAACCUACAAAAGAAUACCCAACGCCUGGCGCCAGAGCCCAUUGGAAUGGGACGCUCAACGUGAGCGAGCUAGGGAGCUUACUGGAAAGUGAUGCUCAGGCGCCCUUAAAGGGGGCUCAACGCCACACUAGCCCCUAAAACACCUCUAAUAUGACAUUUGCUACCCUCUACACAUAUUUAAAUGAUUCCUAUAACCUCUUACGCAUUGAGAAACAUUUGAAAACACAUUUCUAACUCAAAGUAGAUAUCCCAAACAAACUUGACUACUUUAAACUUACCCAAUCUCCUUUCUACUCCUCCUAAUACCAAUUUCAGCAAAGCAAAGUUAUGAACAAGUCAUAAUGGACUCAAUAAUACACUCCAAGACUCCAGUUUCUUCACAACCUUUCUACUUUAAGUUUUCACUAGUUAGAACCUCAACUAUGAACUAAAAUGGUGACAAAAAAAAUCAACUCAAUGACCAAAUAUCAGUCCUACUUCCAAUCUUGCUUAAUUUAACACCUAAACAAGUUCUAAAUAACUUAAAAAAUGACCCUAAAAAGUUAGAUUGUCAACACAAACAAGUUCUUCUUUCUCAAUGAUUUUGAAACACGAGAUUUUAAUCAUGCUUUUUAUAUAAAUUUAUUAGCAUCGGUUAUAUUUUGAAAUUUAAUGACAACAUUUCAACAUAUUUUUAGAUGAAAAAAUUAAUUUUAAAAUACAAUUCUAAUAACAUACGCAACAAAAUAUUAAUAUAAAUAAAUUUAAUAUUUCUGAAAAAUAAAUUUAAAUGAGCUAUAUCACAAAAUAUAAUUUUUUAAAAAUUAAUUUUUUUUCUUAGAUAUAAUAAAAUAAAAUUCACCCAUAUUAAUCACUCAGUUAAUUAAAAUAUAACAAGUAAUGAGUAAUCUCAUAUUAGAUAUAAUACUUAUACCAUCCUAUCAACAAUCAAUUAACUAAAAUUAAUUAAAAUGUGUACAUAUGUAUGAAUUUAAGAAUAUCCAUUUAAUAUUUAUUAGGUAUUUUUAUGUGCAUUUACUUUUUUUUUGGUUGUGUAUACAUAUUGUAGUGAUAAAAAGGAGUUUAAAUUUUGUUCACUUGAGUAGAUUUGGAGAAGAUUAAUUGAGAGAAUUUGAAAGUAAUUUUUUUAUUGUUUAUUUGAAUAGAUUUGAAGGUAACCGAUAAUAAAUUUGGAAUUAAAAUUUGUGAAAAUUAGUGUAGAAUUUAAUUUAUAUGACAGAUUGAAAAAAUUUACUUCCAAAUCUAUUCUCAGUUAUCUCCAAAUCUAUUAAACUAAAUAAAAACAAAAAUUAUCAUCAAAUUCUCUUAUUUACUCUUCCUCAAAUCUACUCAAGUGAACAAAUCCUUAGAAUUUGAUUAUGCAAACGUGGAGCAAAGAAUAAAAUGAUAGAAUGUUGAAAUUUUGUAUUCAUUUUAAAAUGUUCUUUUUCCUGAAAAAUUGAGGUUAUUGUUUCAGCAUUCAAUGGAAAUAAUCGGUAGUUGACACCGGUACGUAUGUAUGGAUGUAUUACUGACACGUUCUAUGUCAUACCUGCUGAAAUGACCUUUAAAAAAGAAGAUGCAUACGAGGAUGAGACCACCUAAACUAUAUAAGCUGAUAAUGAUUACAUUCUCGAUUUUUUUACUAGAUUCAUAAUGUUGAGUUUAGUUUAUUCUUCUAAAUCACUCACUUGAAUGACAAGUUUGAACCGGAGUGCAAAAAAAAACUAACAUAACAUUCAAAUUGCUACUUAAAAUGGAAAAGGACGAGCACAAUUCUAGCUCAUCUCCUCUCCCUCACAACACCUACAAGAAUUGUAGAAAGGAAAAGAACACAACAAAGUUGCAAAAUCAUAAAUAACAUAUGAGGACACUGAAACUAUCUUCACCCCAUUUUCCAGGUCAUAGCAAAGUUUUUACCCACUGGGAUCUGCAAGCCCUUUAAAGCAACCAUGACAGUUUUCUUUUCUCCUUCUCCCUCACUGUUCAAGUGCUCAUGCUGUGAUGUACUAACAUUCACAUUUGACGCACCAAUUAGAGGCUUUCCAUCUAUCUCAAGUGAAGAAACUGCUCCACUUCCAUCUAAUCCCAACACUGAUAUGGAGUCAAUGAUCCAACCUUUAUCCAAGGCAAACUUCCCCUCUUGGACAUCUGACCAAACUUUCACGGCUCCUUGGUUCACAGUUGCAUACAGAUCAACAUAGGUUGAAUACCCAUUUCCAAGGUUCAUGUCUGGUAAUUCAUCAUUGUCAAGGAAAAGGUUGCCCUUAGCCUCUCCUUGUGCUGCUCCAGAUGGGAAGGUUACGAUGAGGGUGAAGGGUGUCGUUCUGGCCUCCUUGGAGACCAAUCCACCCUGCUGCAUUGGAAGAAUGGUAUUCUGAUACAAAUGCACAUUGACAACAUGCAGAGGAGCAUCCAGGGUAACGUAGACUCCGUCCUUUGAUGUAAUGGUGUGAGUCCAAUCAAGCAAACUGUACCAGCUACCGGGAGGAAACAGUGCUUUCACUUGUGUUUUCCCCUGCUCAAGCACUGGAGAAACCAUGAGACUGCUUCCUAGCAAGAACUGGGUGCUAAGGCCAUAACAUUCAGUGUAUGUUGGGAAUGAGAAGAAAAGAGGUCUGGCUAUUGGGGCUCCACUGACAUGAGCUUCAUAGUUCAGGGUGUAAAGGAAUGGAAGCAGCUUAUAUCUUAUCCCCAAAGCAUUUCUAGCAGACUCAGCCACUGACUGCCAUUGGUAAAGCUCCUGUCUAGGGGAGUAGUAGUUUGCAUGAUCCCUUGAGAAUGGGUAGAAAGCCCCUACUUCAAUCCAUCUAUUGCAUAGUUCUUCAGUAGGCUGUGGAUAGAACCCACAUAUAUCUGAACCCACCAUUGGCACCCCAAAUAUGCCAAAAUUGAGCAUUGUGGAGAUAGAAUACUUCAAGUUUUCCCAUGUUCCCUGAUUGUCACCUGUCCAAUGUGCAGCAUAUUUGCCUGAACCAACAUAUGUAGAACGGGACAAAAUAAAGGGUCUUUUUCCUUGAAGCCCUUG
This 52910-nucleotide long non-coding RNA is filed under the name Vigna radiata. RNAcentral describes it as "long non-coding RNA (VRAD_LNC014380)". Lineage: Eukaryota; Viridiplantae; Streptophyta; Magnoliopsida; Fabales; Fabaceae. The record is from RNAcentral.